Molecule: long non-coding RNA, 47427 nt
Filed under: Eucalyptus grandis
Lineage: Eukaryota; Viridiplantae; Streptophyta; Magnoliopsida; Myrtales; Myrtaceae
Description: long non-coding RNA (EGRA_LNC000630)
Source: RNAcentral
UCCAUUUUGCUGGACUUUCUUCUUAGUUUGGUUUUAAUAUAUGAUGCGUAAUAAAUUAAAACGAAACAAUGUAAUCACAAUGAUCAGAGGCUUUUUAAAAAAUAAAAAUAACUUUGUGUUUUCUUGUAUAAAAUUCAAAAUGUUAUUUAAAUAUAAAAAGUUAUGAUUCAAAUUACAUAUUAAUGCUUACGUGUUGUGAAAAUUUAAUAUGUUUAAAGACAAGAUAAUGUCAAAUGUAGACCGAGACAACAUUAGAAUAAACAAAAAUAAAAUGUAAAAAUCUAUCAAGACAAGCCAUUAGCUAAGUUGGUGAUGUUCUUGAAAUCCGCUAGAGGUGGUGGACCAUGUCAUUGUCCUUUGUACUUGUCAUCUUUUCUUUUUUUCCUUACUUUUCUCUUUUAGGCGAACAGAAAGUGUAAGGUAAUAGGAUGUUGAAGCAAAGCCAUAAUUUUUCACUUCAUUGGCCGACAAAUGAGAAUCAAAAUCCACUUACGAGGGCUACACUACAUCCACCACAAUCUGCUCAAGCCUGGAAACCAUCUCAUUGCAGCUUAGAAAGUUAUUAUAGCUGUCUCGAUAUGGGCAGCAGCAUAGGGAAUGCCCCGAUGGAUGACCACUCUCUAGUGUUCAGUGGACAAGAUCAGCUUAUGCUCGGUGAUAAAAUGUUGUACUUUGCAAGACCGUACGUGUUAGAGAACAAGACAAAUGAAGAUAUUGAGUCUUAAGGUCUAGCGUCCCUGUCAAUUUGUGCACAAUCUCUUUUGAACUCUUUACCAAGCCCCUUUUCUUAUUUUGAACUCAAGUUCUUCUAAAUCACAUCCAACAAGUUAGAUAAAUGUGUUCCAAUAUAUGACCUAUUCCGCAUGAGUCUUAACAUGAUACUAAAUAUUUCACGAAACAUUUGGCAAGAUACUUGAGAUCUUUAAUAAGGAUAGUGGUGUUGCACGUUCCUAUUCACUUAUAAUUACAAUUAGUUGUUGUAUUUGGUCACUCCCCCUUCCAUGUUAGUUGCAUGUUCAUAAUUUCUAUAGAUGCCGAAUCAAUUAUAUUUAAUUCCAUUUCUUUCUAACCGCCCCUUGCUCUACCAGGAUUUUCAAAAGAAAUCAUGUGACUCUUCGUAUGUACGUAGCGAGUAAUUUUUCAUGUGACCAGUAACUUUUUACAAGAUAUUCGACUUCCAAUAAGUACUCACCUAUUUACAUUAUUACUAAUUUUUUACAUAAAAGGCAACCUAUCUACAAUGAUUCUUAUCGUCCCAUGUAUUUUAAAAAAAGGACAAGUUUGAAAAAAAAAAAUUGAUGCUUUUUGCAAUGUAACAGUAAAUCUUAAUUUGUAAGACCAAAAAUUUACAUAAAGUUUGUGACCAUUCAUGGGACAGUAAGUUUUGCUUUAAAAAAGUAAUUACCACCGACCCUGUUUAAUAAAAGAAAAUAUAGGAAUUGACAAACAAUAUUUAGGCCGCCCACGGGUCUAGAAAGUGAAAAUUAAAGUUUUUUUUUUUCCUCAGCAGCUGUAAAUGAAAAUUUCUCCCAAGGGGGCUAAAGAACAAAUGAGCCCGGCUUUUUUCUGAUGAUGCCCAUUUUCCUCGUUUCAUCACAUGCUUUCCUUAGAAAACAGUGCACGUUCAUACUCUAAUAAUUUUUUCUUUUUUAAUUUAAAGAAUAUUAAUAUUCUUUAAAUAAUUUGAUAUUCGCUCUAUUUUCAUUUUCUUUUUUGGGGAUAGAGGGACUUGAACCCUCACGAUUUUUAAAGUCGACGGAUUUUCCUCUUACUCUAAAUUUCAUUGUUGUCAGUAUUGACCAAUCAGUUUCGCUACAGCACCCGCUGCUCUAGCUAAUUGUCCAAAGGGGAUCCUAUCAACUUGUUCCGACCUAGGAUAAAUAUUUCCCAACUGUUCUGGUCCAUUUACGGUUAUUGCUUUUGUGAACAUAGUAGCUAAAUAAUCCCAACGUGUCAUCCUCUAGAUAAUUCAAAUCGAAGCAAUUGGAUGUACAAAAAUAGGAAAUUAACUUCUCAUUUUUUUCUGACAGAUAAAAAAAAAAAGUAAAUAUAAGCAAGACUUUUACCCCAAGAUUGGUUGAUUAGUCAUCUUGGCUUGUUUUAGCUAUUUUUCUUUAUUUGUUUCAUAUUGUAAAUGUAUUAUCGCACCUUCCAGUACGGUUACCUUGUUACGACUUCAUACUUGAACAAAUAAAAAUUGGGAAAGUUUAAAUUGCGCAAUUGUUUACAGUUCCGGUUCACAUGCAUGCCCCAGUUGUUUUGUAGUAAACACCGGAGCAUUAAAAAUAGUAGAACUUGGAUCUUGAGAAGCCGGAAAAUUAUCAUAGCUGCGGGGGCAACUUAAAAUCUAACUUCACAUGGUAAAAAAAAAUUAUGUGAAUGAAUUUCCACUUUUGUCCGAAUAAAAAACUGAAGAAAAGAUUAUGAAGUAUAAAUUGUGAAUGAAGUAGUUUGAAACCUUUGUGUGCAAAAAAGAAAUUGCAGAUUGGUACAGAAGUACCAUGUGCGGUGGGAUAACAAAAAAGCAAGCUGAUGAGGAUGCUUUUCGAAUUUAGAUUUUAAUAUGCGGAAUGGUAGAAGGGCUCUUAAAGUUGGCUAAUCUUCUCUUGUGAAUUCCAUUUAAAAUUGGAAAUUGGUACAUCUUACAUCUUCUUAUGUGCCCAAUUUGAAGAAGGCUAAAUAUCCUAAAUAUGUAAAUAUUUACGCCAUAUAAGUCAUAUUUUUAAAUCCAAAUAAAAGACGUCGAUAGUUUUCCUAAACAUUCUUUGUUUCAUCAAUCUAUUCAUUUUCAGAAAAGCUCUCUGGUUAGUCGCUAUAAGAAAGAACGAACCUGGCUAAUAGUGGGCUGAUCGACGGCCGACCAACAAAAGCAAGGCCCCAACCGGCCAGAUCAAGAGAGGAGGACAGGAGACGGUGUCGGCAAGAUCAACAGAGAGAUGAGAUGAGACGGCAUGGGCAAAGACUCCAGGAAUGGAGAGAUCAAGGGCACUGCUGGGGAAAGUCAGAGAUACGAAGAGUCUGAGAGAGGCUAGCUAUGGGAGUGAGAACUAAAAGAGAGUAGCGAGGGUCUUUAAAUAGAAAAGAUUGAGCACUAUUUUGAACUGUUCCAAACCAGUUCUUCCAAAGGCUGGUUCCCAAGAUUUUUUCAUGAGAGCUAAUCGAAAGUUGUUGAGGUCAGUGAAUCUGAAACGUUGCAGCACGUGGCAGAGCGUGACGUGCAGCAGCGAACGGGGCUGAAAUUUCAGGGCCUAUCACUUUGGAGGAUGGUGAGUUUGAUGAUGGCAUCGAUUUUGUGAAAAAAACAGCAGAAGGGGGGCGUAAUGACACUCUAUAGGACGGGUUUGACCAAAUACGGACACCGGCAGAGCUGAUGUAAUAUUGCAACCACCGCUAUAGAUUAAAGACUUAUGCUUUGUUCGUUUUGCGGAAAAUAAUUUUCAGAGACAUAUUUUCCGAAAUUUCCGGUGUUCGGGUGGACGAAAAAUACACGGUCAAAGAAAACAUUUUCCGGUCAACGGAAAAUCCCCUCUUAAUCUUGGAAAAUGAUUUCCUGUUUUAAAAAGAGGAAAUCAUUUUCCCGGCCUCUCGCACGAGCUCUCUCGCACGAGCUCUCGCGCUCACUCUCGCGCUGCUUUUUUCCUUCCUCAUUUCUGCACUCUCUCACAAAACCUUAGGGUUUCUGAUCUCCUCCUCCUCGUUCGACACCGACGAUCGGUGAAGCAUCCCUCAUUCACAAAUGUCCUCCUCCCUUCAGUUCUCUCUCUCUCCCUCUCUCUCUCCCUGCUGCAAUGGCUUCGACGACGUCCUUCUCCGGGAUCAGCCUCUGCCCUCCCCGGCCGCUCCUGCCCACUUGCUCCAGCUGGGGCGCUGCCGCCACCGCCGCCGCGCUCCGCUUCCCCGGUGGCUCGAAGCCGCUCGGGAGGAUCCGGCUCAAGAGGGAGCACCGCGGCGGCGCCGGGAGGCUCGCGGGGAGCCCGCCGUCCAGGCUGCUCGCCGUGCGGUGCGAGGCUUCUGGUGGACGGGUGAUUGCCCCCGAUUCAUUUUCUUGUUAUUUUUUUUUUAGCGCUCCACGUGCUUGCUCGUGUGUUCGUUCGUUGCUCUGUUUUGGGGAUUUGGUUAUGCUUAUUUGGGGUGAUGCGAUGAGGUUGCGUGCGUCCAGGCUUGGUGCUAGUAGUGUUCUGUGUUCGAGUGCGUUGGAUUUUUCUUGCCAAGUUGUCAUUUUUUUCGAUAAUCCUGAAUUGUGCAAAUAUGUUGAUUGAUUGCUAGUGUGGUUGCCGUACUGCUAAAUUAGGCUGUGCAUAGACGAAGAGUGAGCUGCUAAAUGGAUGAAUGUGUAUAUGCAGCUUCUUUGGGGGUGGUGUUUGUAAUAUGUAUAAUCAGAUUUGUCCACUUGAACCCAAUAAAUUAUUGAUUUUGUAGCUUUGUCAAAUGACAGAUCACACAGCAAGAAUUUACAGAGAUGGCCUGGCAAGGGAUUGUUUCCUCUCCAGAUAUUGCGAAGGAGAAUAAACAUCAAAUAGUGGAGACUGAGCACUUGAUGAAGGCUUUGUUGGAGCAAAAUAAUGGGCUUGCCCGGCGGAUCUUCUCCAAGGCUGCAGUUGACAAUACCCGUCUUCUGGAGGCUACUGAUAAGUUCAUCCAACGGCAACCAAAGGUAUCUCUACUGAAUGACAAUGUCUUAAUGAGCAUCUCUUUUCAAUCAAUGGGUUAUUACAGCUAGAUGUUGCUAUUUUCUUUUACGAAUCGAUUAAACAUUUUCAGCAUGGGCAUUGCCUCUUGAGACCGAGUUCUUAAUUGAAGAAUAGAGGAUUUAACAUCACUUGAUGUUCUCAGCCAUUUAAAGGAUUCAAGCCCCACAAACGAUGUUCAAGAGAAUUACCUAAGUGCUGAAAUCUUAAAAAAUGUUUUCAGGUAGAAAAUAUUUUCCUUACCGAACACUGGAAAACAUUUUCCGAAAUAUUUUCAAGUUUUAGCCAAACACCGGAAAAUGACUUCAUGGAAAAUGUUUUCCGGAAAUGGCCCAUUUUUCGUGAAACGAACGGACCCUUAAUGGCGCUUCAUCAAUUUAUAAUCUCUCUAGUACCAUGAUAAGAAUAACAUGAAGAGAGAAAAUGGGGGAACAACUGUAUAUUUUUACGUAUUGAUAAACAAUACAUGAGACUUUAUUAGAUAACUAUUUAAAGUAAUAAGAUAAAUAUAAUGCCACAUAUAAUUAAUCAAGGAUAUACAUUAUUGAGGGAGAUAUAUGUAUAAUCCUGAAAAAUAUGCAAAAUUAAGUAAAUAUCCAAAUAUCAUUAACAAUUAGAAUGGGGGUUUUACAUACUAUAUACUAAAAAACAAAUGUUAAUUUGUUAAGGGCGGUGCUAUUUCCACCCCCUAAAUAACUUUAUCCAACCCCAUUUAUACUAAAAAGACAACAUUGUUCUCAAUCUUUCAGUUGCAGUUUAUAUUGAUGGCCCCUUUCCUUUUCUAUUUAGGAUAAUUACGAUAAUUAAACAUUUGAAUGUUUUGUUUUGCUUUUUAGUGUAUUAAAGCAAAGUGCAUUAUCAAAUAUUCUUAUAACGUUUUAUAUACUCCUUGUCAAAUUAUCUCGCUAAUAGUAAAGACAUUUUUUGAUAUAGUACAAAAUUGGCUGGUGGGUAAGUUUCCUUUCGUUGGGACACAACAGCAAAUGUAUAUCUUUGCAUUGUUACUUAAAAGCACGAUUUUUCAUAUGUAGGUGUUUGGCGCUUGUUAGUCGCACAAUUUUUAAUAAUAUAUACAUAUUGAUUGAUACGUAAUUUCGUUUAUAAUUUUUUUAUAAUUUGUGUUGUUGUAGAAAAAUAAAAAAAAAUGUAUAUUUAUAUUGAUCACAUGCCCUGACUUUUCACAUGUUAUUACCGUGUAGCAUCCAAAAGUAAAAGCAAAAACGAUAUGCAUAUAUUAACUAUUCAAAUAAAUAAUAGAGUAAACCGAAAAAGUUGCAAACAUAUCUUUCAGGUGGACCCGAGGCCCGAGAUCACGAUUUGGGGUGAAGAUUCCGUUGGUAUGUGGUGAAUUUGGAGUGGACAAUUGCGUAUAAAGACAGACUGGAUGAGUGCAUAGUGGGGCCCGCAUGUAUGGAGUCAUAUUGGUACGCGGCCGACAUAGCCAUAAAGCAACUUAACUCUCCACCAUGGUCACCUAUUAACAUCACUUGGUUGUUAUUAUUAUUUUUUUUUAAAUUUCUUUUUGCGUUUUGCGCCACUUCUGUCUCCUUCUCUCCUAUGUAUUUUAAAGAUGGAGACAACUCUAGAUAUUAACCACUGGGAUUCGCCCUAGUGGCCACCCUUCCAACAUGGAAGGGGGAGGUGAGGGGUUCAAAUUCCUACCUUCUCAGGGAGGAAUGGGGUGGGGACGCGUAAGUUUCAGGAGUGAGUUUCGACUCCCACGCCCUGCAAGAGGCAGGGCAAAAGUCUGAGAUGAGUGAGUUUCGACUCCCACGCCCUGCAAGAGGCAGGGCAAAAGUCUAAGAGUGAGUGUAGAGUAGGAAUAGAGUAUGACUGACAAAAAAAAAAAAUCUAGAUAUUAAAGGCCAAAUCACCUCAAUUGUCACUCAUUAAUGGCCCACCACCUCAUUUACAUAAAACUUAAUAUAAGUACCUACCUCAUUUAUUGUGAAAGAACUCCUUAAAGAUAAUAUAAGUGCACAAUAAUAAUAGAUAAUAAAUAAUAUUUGAAUGACAAAUACCAAUUGCAAAACCUAUGUCUAUAUGUAUAUAUCGAAAAAAUAUGUAAAGUAACAUGUCUGAUUAAUGUUAAGGAAAGAAAGAAUGAAUGAAGUUUUGCAAUGAUAUAGCUCAACCAUUGAGCUCUAUUCUAUCUUACUUUCUUAUUAUAUAUAUUAGCUUAGCAAUGGUCUCUUCAGCAAUGCUCCCGAGGACAACUUUCGCCAUUUUUGUUCUCUCUCUGGAUUAGAAGAUGAUUAGUCCAGUGGUUCUAAGUCCAUAGACUUCUUAGGACAUGUACAGCAAGUCUGUGUUGAAAAUAGCAUUUCUCAUCGGCCACGCAUAAUAGAAGGUGAAGCUUAAGUCCAUAAUGCUUCUAGGACCCACCGACUUUGAUAUUUAUUUCACAGGUUGGUUUUAUCUGGUAGUUUCCGAGGCCCGGAAGCAAGGGAGAGUAGGACCAAGUUGUGAAAGCAAAUUGCCUCUCCAAGGACAAACACUUCAUUUUUUUUCCCCAAGGUUUCGUUCUAUAUAUUAAUUUUUUUAAAUGAUGGAGGUCAUUGUUUAAUUUAUUGGGAUGGAUUUUGAGGUCUGACAAAGUUGGUAACAAAAAAAAACCUAGGGCAUAUUAGUUUGCUGUGAUCCAACACCGUAAAAUGUGUGAUGUGAUUAAUUAGUAACUUAUACAUGUAGAUAUAUUGAUACAUAUGAUAUACAUGUUUGGACAGAGAUUAUUUCCAUUAAAAUAGAAAGUUUUAUAUGCAUGGAUAACACCAGAUUUGUUAACAUUCCAUUGCCAGCACUACACCUCUCAAUUCAAAACUCUCCUUCAUAUCUUCACUUGACAUUAUUGGUAUUAUUUCACUUAAACCUUACUGUUUAAGGAAGUUCCCUCUCCUUGCCAAUCUUUCAAAACUAUUUGCUUCCUAUGAAUAAAAUGCUUCUAGAUUAUUUCUUUCUUCCUUUAUUUUUUUUCAUAUUCUCUAAAUAAAUGAAUAAAACUGCUUUAAAGAUCUCUCUUCCAUUACUAGACAAUAUGAAAACUUGCACAUUUAUGUAAUGUAAAAUGAUAUAUUUAAACAUUUUAUGCAUGUCACUCUUUUUUUAUAAAUUUCAAAAGGAUUCACAUGUAGGGCAAAACAACAUACACACGAUUUUUUCUAGCAUAUACAAUAUGUACAAAAUCUUUUACUAUCUCAGUAUCCUAUUACAAUUAUAUCAGUUAGUUUAGAAUACUCUUUAGUUCAAAUUUAUAGCUUUUUCUUUAACAAUUACUAUAAGAUAAGUCAUCUUUCUUAUCUUUUGAGUCUGGCGCUUAUUUCAAUCCCCCUAAUAUAUUAUUCUUCCAUUCAAUGUACACAAUCAAAUCUUUGCCAAGUUUCCUUGUGGAUGUUUUCUAAUAGUGCUUGCAAAACUGUAAGAAUUCCUAGUUGGCCGUUAAUGACAAGUUAGUGACAUCGGACCAAGUAGACCUUGUGCGACAAUAAAAUUUGUUGAAGUGGUAUGGAUUAUUGUGACAUGACUAGAAUGUGCAAAGCAUCUUUUAACAUCCUAGAAAAAUUUGGAGUGUUAAAAAAAUUUAUGCCGCUUUCUUGCUUGAAUACUCUAAUACCUGCUUGAACUAUGCAAGAUACCCUUAACAUACUUGUGGAGCAUCUUUUGUAGUGUAGACACAUUCAUCUCUGUGUAUGCACCUAAACUAUGUGCGAACAACCAGUAGCCAUUAUCAUUCAUGGAGGAUGUGAUAGUAGUAACUCUACAUAACCUUGUGCAGCAAUGAAAUUUGUAACUCUUCCAAAAAGAACGUAACUUUCGUCUUCCCUUCCCAAGAAUAUGUUUCCCGACAAUCAUUUCGACAAGCAUUUCCCUUUUCUUUUCAUUACGGAAACAAGAAAUAUUGUUUGUCCACUGGUGCUUGUUUGGUAAUAUUCAAAGAAUUUCUUCAAUUUUUUUUGUCUCGAAAGUGAAGCAAAAGACAAAAAGAGGCAAUGGCAAAGAAACUCCAAUAAAUUCCAAGAAGACCACAACUUUUGCAGGACACAAAUUGAAGUUUCUUGCUUCGCUUUUCGCAUCCCUCCUCAUGAAUCCCCAUGAGAACGUCUCUUUUUCCAUCGCUAGUAGAACUUCCAUGCAUUAUGUUUGGAUUAAUCUCUGUUGUUUUUUCCUUUUUCAAAUUUGUCUCAAUUCGAGGCAAUUUUUAAAAAAUUGCCACAUCGUAAUGAUUUUAUUGACACAAUUUGUUUACCCUGUGAAUUGGGUGAUGUGGAGAGAGUUUGUAUUGGUUUAGAUAAUCUUAGCAUCUAAUGUCUUUAUUGAUGUGGCAACAUCUCAAGAUGCCAUAUUGAACACUUAUAUGGACAUUUAACAACUAUUUAACGGUGUUGGCAUCAUGUCAACAUUUUUCGUUUGGAACAUUAACGAAGGCCUCACAUUGACCCUCAUGAAAAAUUCAGAUAAUUGAUUGAACGAGAAAACUUUAGGUACCUAAUUGUGAAAGGGCUAAUAAUACAAGUACUUGUAAUGUCAUUGUUCCAAAGAGUUUAUCACAGAAUCAUUGGUCUAGGCACAAAUCUCAAACAUACUUUUGUUUACAGAAUAUUUGCUCCACAACUCAUCCUCUCGAUUCAUUUCUUGGUUUCCCUUUAAUAAUUUUCUUUUGUAAGAUUAUUCAUUCUUUUGUGUGAAAGAAAACAGGAGAUAGUUUUGUUAAUUUCACGCGCCAAAAGAUUUCAAUGGCUAAAUGUCAAGCACAUUGGAAGACUACAAAAUUUCUCAAUGUCGAUUUCCCUUAGAUUUUUUCCUAAUCAUUCGAUCAUAAAAAUUCAAGCUUUACACUUGAAAAUUUUUAGUGGAUUAUCAAACAUUUGAUUGAAAUUAAUUUUUUUUAGUACUUGAUUUUAGUUUAGUUGGAUAUCAUAUUAAUAGUAUUAUCAUCACAUGUAACUGUACGGGCACACUUAACUUAAAACCUUACUAUGACUUCUUUACCAAUUACAUCUAAUUUGCCUAAAUAAUAUUUUUUGUAGAUAAUUUGUUCCAACUUUUCGAGAGAUCAAUUGAUAUCAUCUGGAAUCCCCGGUUUGACCUGCAAGAGACAAAAUUGAUACCACAAAGAAUAUAUUGCAGCCCAAUAUAAGCAGUUAACGACUACUUAAUAGCAUUGAUGUCAUAUAAACAUUUUUCGUUCACGAUUCAAUGGAGGUCUCGCAUUGACCCAUAUCCGAAAUGUCGAGAUAAUUGAUUGAAUGAAAAAAACUCUAGAUACUUGAUUGCCAGUUCAUAGGUAAGAAAUUUCAUGCACCUCACGAUAUGGUUUUAUUUCAGUCAAUUUGAAUGGACGUCGCUAUUAAUUGACCAAAGCGAGGGAUGGGUGCGUGCCCGAGGAUCGAGGCGUGACAGUGAUGGCAGGAAAGAAACUAAUAUAUUCUAAAAAGACCAAGACUGUUAACGUCAUUUGAUUGUGCACGUCUUUUGAUGGUGGGAAAGAAACUUUAAUAGAUUCCAAAAAGACCAAGACUUUUGCAUGUUUGUAUGUUAUGUUGGGAUUGUCGGAUUCCCAAAAACCGGAUUCGACACUAAAUCGAACCCCUAAAACGAAUGCGGAAGACGAAGCCUGGGAAAAUCACAUAUCACCGAUCCUAAAGCACACCACGGAUUCGAGCGUACAUUGUUAACCACAGAUUAAACACCAAUGCUGAAGAUUGAGGAAGAGAAACCGAUCAUGUUCGAUUCGAUGACGUCAAUUGGCCUUGAAGGGAAGACGGUGUCGCAUUUUGCGCACUUUUGCUUUUGGAGGGAGAGAGGGAGAAGAACGUACGCUCUUUUUGCCAAAAGGUACGUUCAUCUCUCUCUGUCCUCCCUUUUAUAUGUCCCCUCAAAAAUAUAAAACAUACCUCUUCAUCGUAUCCCUUCAUCCAUGGGCCCUAAUUUUGUGGGCCGGGCUUUUAGGCCCAACAUGGGCGGACGGGCCAACUUAGGCCCAUCACCUAAAACCAUCAUCUCCCACUCGCACAUGGUGGGCUGAACAGAAUUCUCUUUUACCUCUCUUCAACAUUCAUACCGGUGAAUAAUCCGUGCGACCAGCAUACUUUAAGAGCUCGUUGCCAUACAUCUGUUAGGAAUAUAUAGCAGCUCAUAAUGGGCAUCACACUCUAAGUAGAUUUAGUAUGCAGUACCCUAGAUCGAUCGAUCACAUUUAUAUCUCUCUUGAUCUCUUUUAAACAAUGAUAUAUAUAUAUAUUGUAUUCACAAUUAUAAUUAUCCCAAAGACAGUCAUAAUUGGUUAACCAGUGAAUACAAAACUACAAUGUGAUUCUCCAAAUUCGAUCUUCCUCUUUCAUUCAAACUCUCAAUUUCAGUUCAACUUGCUUUUCUAGAAAUGUCCCAUUAGAUCGAAUCAACUCAUGACCAUUGGCAACAUCCUAAGAUAGCAAACACUAAAUAGAAAUCUUGAGAAUAAAUAAGAGUCAUAAGAGGACUAAAAAAUUGAGGAACUCUUUUCCUCAAGAGUCUCACACGACAUAAAAGUUGAGAUCAAAUUUUUGCCACUCUUAUUGGUCGUCUCAUGCAUACGUAGUAUGAAAUACGUAUUACGGUAAUAACUCCUUUCCCAUGGAGCGUAUGUCUACACCUUUAAUACCGUACAGAUGAUAGUUCAGACAUACUCAAUGUCUAACUUGAGUUCACGUAUCUACUCAUUCACAAAAUUCAUUAGAACUCACAUCUGGCAUCAUAGACAGAUAAAAUAAAAUAUGUGGGGUAUUUUACUUUCGGACAUAGUAAGUAUUAUGUCCCCAUCUUAACACUCAGUUAAGGCAACGUACGUAUUUUAAGCUUUAGCUCUCGAUUAUCACCUAGAUAAUAAGCUUAAAAACAGUCUCAUCUCUAUUUAUCACACAAUAAAUAGAGGCGAUUACCCGUGUGAGUGGGCUAAUCUUAUAUCUGUCCGACAUACUUUCUCAACUUAAAGUAAUGCACUAAGCAUUAAGAUGCAUAAAGAUCAAACAAAGAUUCAUAGGCAUUAAUGAUGAAAAAACACAAAUUCAUCAAAUGUGAACACUUCAGGGAAAUUACAAUCUAGUACAUCAGACUCUACGCAAUCCCAGAGAUUUCAUAUGGCCACAAAACACAUCUCUAUGUAUUGGUUUUGUCAUAGGAUCUGCUACCAUUCUAUGCGUAAUAUGUACUGUAAGUUCAUAUCUUUUCGCGCAAUCAAAUUUUUUUUUGAUAAAAUUAUACUAGGUAUCUAUAUGUUUGGUCUUACCAUGAUAUUUUGGAUCUUUGGUGUACGCUAUUGUUGCUUGGCUAUCACAAUUAACCAAACAAUGAAUCUGCAGCACUUCCAAUAACACCUAAAUGAUCCAAUAAUCUCUUAAGCCAAACAUCUUCUUAUAUUGCUGCUGAUAAUACCACGAACUCAGUUUCCAUUGUGGACAAGGCUAUACACUUUUGUUUCUUACUGCUCCAACAUAUGGUGCUAUUAUUCGAUAAGAAAACAAACCCAGAGGUAGAUUUUCUUUCAUCUGAAUCUCCUCCACAAUCAGCAUCAGAAUAGCCUUAGAGUCGCAGAUCCUUUCCCUAAUAACUCAGCGUAUAAUCAGCAGUCCCCUUUAAAUACCUCAGUAUUAUCUUAACGGCCUUCCAAUGUGCUGGACCUGGAUUGGAUUAGUAUCUACCCACCAUUCCAACUGCAAAAACAUAUGUCAGGUCUUGUACACAUCAUAUUGUACAUCAAGCUCCCAACAGCACUAGCAUAAGGAACAUAUUUCGUUUGUUCCUUCUCUUGUGGAGUCCUUUGACACAAUCUGUGGCUCAAUCUUUCACGUUUUGCAAUAGGAGUGUCUAUGAGUUUACAAUCCCAUAUCAUUCAUCUCAAAGUUGGAAGACAACCAACUUUUGACAGUAUUGACAAGCUCCAUAUUGCUUCCGGCAAUUAGUAUAUCAUCAACAUAUAAUGAUAUGAUCACAAAUUGAUCAUUGGAUCUUUUGAUAUAUAUAUACAAUGAUCCUCAUCUAUCAUUGUAAAAUCAUAUGUCAUUAUGGCAUUAUGAAAUCGUAUAUACCAUUGUCUUGACGACUGCUUAAGGCCAUAUAUCGACCUCAAAAGUCGACAUACCUUUUCUUCUUGGCCUUUCACUAUGAAACCAGCAGGUUGUUCCAUAUAUAUUCCUUCCUCUAAUUCUCCAUUGAGGAAAGCAGUCUUUACAUCCAUUUGAUGUAACUUAAGAUCCAUACUAACCACUAUUGCCAGAAUUAUGCGAAUAGAGGUAAAUCUCACUACAGGAGAAAAUGUUUCUUCAUAAUCAAUUCCUUCCUGUUGAUUAUACACAUUCGCCAUAAGGCGAGCCUUAUGCCUUUAUAUCAAGCCAUCAGCUUUACGCUUUAUUUUGAGAACCCACUUGUUCCCAAUAGCUUUGCGUCCUUUUGGAAGAUCAACCAGUUCCAAACUUGGUUUGACUUCAUUGACUCCAUCUCCUCUUUCAUUGCAUAAAUCCAUUUUUCCUUACUAGGGCAAUUCAGAGCCUCAUUAAUAUUUCUUGGCUCAUCCUCAUCUUGCGGAGCAAUCAUAAAAGUUUCCCCUUCAAUGUCAAAACGUCGACGGUGAAUACUUUGGUGACUUGUUCGCCGUAUGGGAGAUUGUACACUUUGUACAUCAUUCCCUAUUAUGCUCCCACUAGGAUUAGAUAAUGAUAACGUUGUCUCAUCAUGUGGUUGCAAUUGAGAAUGAGUUGAAUUCAAUUCAUCACUUCUCAUAUUACUCCCACUUGGACGAACUCCACUAAUAUCAUUAUCUUAAUCCAAUGUUUCAAAUAGGGGUAAUCUUCCCUUAUUUCGCCCUUCUUAGGAAAUUCAUCCUCUAAGAAUGUGACAUCACGUGAUUAAAAUUCAGUUAUACUCCCACUUUCAUGCUCACCUAUGAACACAUACCCUUUCGAGUGUUCGGAGUAUCUCAUUAAAAUACUCUUAUUUCCUUUAGGACCCAAUUUCCCAAACUUGUGAGAGGACUAAUGAGUAUAGGCAGCACAAACCCAUGGCUUAAGAAAACUUAAGUCCGGUUUUCUACCUGUCCAUAACUCAUAUGGAGUGGAAGUAACUGAUUUGGAAGGCACCCGAUUAAGUAUAUAGGCAGCAGUUAACAACGCAUCACUCCAAAAAGUAAUAGGUAAGUUAGCAUGCGCCAUCAUGGACCUAACCAUUUCCAGUAGGGUUUUGUUUCUUCUCUCUGCAACACCAUUUGUUGAGGAGUAUAUGGAAUAGACAAUUGUCUUUCUAUUCCUUUUUCACCAUAUAAUUUUCUGAACUCAUCAGAUAAAUAUUCUCGACCUCGAUCGAAUCUCAAUGCUUAUAUUUUCUUGUCUAAUUGAUUUUCGUCCAAGUUCAUAAACCUUUUGAAACAACUUAAUACUUCAGAUUUAUGAAAAAUCAAAUAGACAUAUCCGAAUCGAGUAUAAUCAUCUAUAAAAGUGAUGAAAUAAACAGUCACAUGCUUUCCUUUCACAUUCAUUGCACCACAGACGUCAGAAUGGAUUAAAUGCAGAGGAAAUUCAGCUCUUUUACCUUUUCCAAAUAGUUUCCUUGCCGUUUUCCCUACUAGGCAAUGCUCAUAUAUGGGCAAAUCGACUUUUUCAAUGUUGCCCAACAAGCCCUCUUUGGCCAGUCUAUUCAUACGUUGUUGGCCAAUAUGACCAAGUCUAACAUGCCACACAUUCACAUCACUAUCAAAUGAAUUAGGAGAUGUGAGAAGGGAAUAACAAACAUUUGCAUUAACAUAGUCAAUAUCUAAUACUAUGAAACCAUCCAGAAAAUAACUACAAGUAUAGUAGUUUGUAUCCAAAUACAAAUCUACACCUCUAUUAUGGAAGUUCACACUAAAAACAAGCUUAACCAACACAAAAAAAAAAGACACUUAAAUUUCGACGAAUCUCCGAAGCAUAUAGAACAUCAUGUAGGAACAAGUUGCGUCCACCACGCAUGUUCAAUUGGCAGGUGCCAAUCCCUUUAACUUCAGCUCUGGAGUUGUUUCCCACAUAGAUCCAGUUAGUUCCAGUUGGUAUUCGUCGGAAUUCCACGAAGGAUCCUCUAUCCUUCGCUACAUGGUCUGUCACUCUUGAAUCUACAGUCCACAAAGGAUUGGAUUCAGCCAAUAAUGUAGAACUUGACACAUAAGCAAAGUUCUCAAAUGUACAAGAGGUGUUUACCUUAUUUGGCUCACGACAGUCGCGAGCAUAGUGACAUUUCUUGUCACAAUUGUAACACCUUACCCUUAACAUUUUCUUCACUUGAUGACGUUUUCCUCUCUUGUGUUGGUUAACUCUUGAUCUCUUGCAAUAAGGACUUGAUCCUUUGCAUUCCCACAUAUUGAACGAAUCAAUACGCUUGCGCUUAGAGCUCAAAGCUCUUUCUGAGCUAGAACCAGCAUUGCAAAUAUCUAUUUUCGGCUCACAUGCCGUUAAUCGGUCCUCUACCAGCUCAAGGUGGCGCACAGCAUCCUGAAGAUCUUCCAUAACAUGGUCAAGAGCUUCUAGUGUUUCUUGCUUUUCCAGCACAUAUUGAAUCUCCAUAUUCAAUAUUUCACAAUUGUUGCCGUUCAUAUCAACAAUUACGUUCUUAGUGCUGAAACCAUCGAUCUGAACACAUCAGACAUAUAUGCACGAAUAAUUAAUGCCUAUCAUUUAUGCAUCCACUUUGCACAGACUCAUCAUAUCAAUGAAUAAUUUCAAGUAAGGUUUCAGAAUCAAAAUGUCACUACGUUUCCAAUCAUCCUCCAAAAAUCCUAACUUAAAACUAUUAUUAAUAUAAUUGUCUUUUGCAAAAUAAAUUCUAUGAAGUUACAAAAACUUCUAUGAACUACCCACAACAGUCAACAAUAACAGAAAGCAAAUAAUAUCUAACAUCCAAUAGAAUAAUAAUGCUUUCACAUAAUACAACAAUCAAUUACACUAAGUAAUAUACUCAAAGAAGAAAUAUCAACAUAGAAAGAGAUAUUCACACUUAAAAAACAUCUCAAAAUAAUCUAAGAAAUAAAUAAGGAAUGUCCCUUCUAAUCUAUCAGUCAAAAUAUCUAAGAAAUUUGUAGGCACAUUUGCCAACCAUGGAAAAACUUUUGGAGAGCUCUCAUGUCGCCUCCAAGGCGCAUUCACUCUGCGCCAUGUGGCGCUCAAUCUAAGGGUUGAAGUUUUGGUUAACUCAACCCUAUAGUACUCUCUAACAAAAGCUACCAUUAGCCUCCUAUAACCCGGGACCACGUUGACCUCCCAUAGCCGAUCUAACACUGCUUGCCAUUCAGGUGGAAGAGUGUUCAUCAAAGCCGGCACCUUCUCAAAAUUCGGCAUAAGAUAACCAUUCCAAAUGAUUUCCUAUAUCAUCUGAUUGACUCUAUAACCUGGAUCGGACGAACCCGUCGGGCCGGUCGGAUCGGGUCGGACGAACCGACCGGCAAGUGCCGCGCGCGUGCGCGGGCUGACGUCACGCAGACGUUAGCCGGCACGUGCGCGGCACGCGCCAAGCUUCCGCGCAUGUCGGGUCGCCGGUCGGGUCGCCGGCCGGUGACCGCCCGGCCAACGAUCGUCGGCGAUGACGUCAUCGAUGACGUCAUCCCAGCGGUUACCGACCGUUGGGUGACGUCACGGUGACGUCAGCACGCGUCGGUUUGCCGACCGGCGCGUGCCGGUUCACUGGCCGGCGGCGUCGCGCACGUGCCAGUCCGUCACCGGCGCGUGUGGCGCACGCGCUGGCCGAGCCAGCGUUUCAGGCGCGUGGCGCCCACGCGCAGCGGCUUCUGGCCGCGUGUGUGGGCGCGUGCGGCGUCGCCCGGCGGUGGUCGAUAUGUCGACGGACUCGUUUCGACGAGCCCUUUCACCCAAUGCCUUCAGAAAUCGAUUUCGACUUAUAGAAACUCGAAAAAAUGGACGACCAGUGCUCGAGUGUCGGGAUUUUGCGCCCCGAUCCGUGUCGGCCGAAUAUUUUCGCGAAAAAUCAAUCAUAAAACAUCAAAGGGGUCGGGAAAACAUGAACUAGAGCUCUGAUACCAAUGUUGGGAUUGUCGGAUUCCCAAAAACCGGAUUCGACACUAAAUCGAACCCCUAAAACGAAUGCGGAAGACGAAGCCCGGGAAAAUCACGUAUCACCGAUCCUAAAACAUACCUCUUCAUCGUAUCCCUCCAUGCAUGGGCCCUAAUUUUUUGGGCCGGGCUUUUAGGCCCAACAUGGGCAGACGGGCCAACUUAGGCCCAUCACCUAAAACCAUCAUGUUAGUGGGAAAGAAACUUCAAUAGAUGCCAAGAAGACGAAGACUUUGUAUGUCUUUCUUGCCAUUACCAAUAGAAUUUUUAGGCGCUACAUAUCUUGCUUAAAAUUAACAAUACCAUAAUUUUCCUCCAAUUCUUUUCAUUUUGGGAUUUUUUCAUUCAUUAAUCUCUAUUGUAUCUUUUCAAAUUUGAGUUCAACAAAUGAAAAGAAAAAAGCAAAGAGAAAAACUGACAAGAAGAAAGAGCAAAAAAGUUUAAAAAAAAAAAAAAGGAAAUAAAGAAGGAAAAGGGCAAGAUAGAACACCAUUGAAGCACGGCCACAGCGUGUUGUUGCCGUUAGCACUAUCACUUUGGUGACUAUUUCCAACUUCGCUACCUUAUAAGUUACAAUGACCUUCGUAGACAAUAUUUUUCUUGAGAUGUUUUUCUUAGAGUGGGUCAGAAGUUGAGGAUAAUGACAUCAAAACUAUCAAAACUUUCGCUUAUUUUACAAUAGAGUACCUAAACUUUUCUUUUUUCAAUCAAGUAUCUCACUUUUUCAAAUUUGAUACAAUUUGAGGCAUUCACUAAAUGAAUCAUCAUGUCAUAUGAUUUUGGUUACAUGAUUCGCUCACCUUGCAUAUUGAGUAAUGUGGAAAGAAAAAAUAUUGACUUAGAUAAUCGUAGUGUCUUAUAUAUCCCGGCCGAUGUGGCAUCAAAUCAAGAUAUUGUAGAAAACACUAAUGGGCAAUUAACGACUAUUUAACAACAUUAGUAUGAUAUCAACAUUUUUUGUUAGUGAUUUAAUAGAGGACUUAACCUAUAUUUGGAAAAUUGAGGUAAUUGACUGAAUGAACUAAAAUUUUGGUAUGAUUAAAAAAAGGGUAAUAAUUUGGAUACAUGUGCGUCAUUAUCCAAUAAUUUAUCUUUUUUUUACGUGAUAUUCAUGUGAAAGAGAAUAUUAAAUAGUUUUGUCAAUUUCAAGCCAUUGCAAAAUGAUUUUAGUGGCUAUAUGUCAAGCCCAUUUGGAGACUAUAACGUUCUCAAUGUUGAUUUCCUUUAUAUUUUCUGCAAUCAUUCGAUCAUAAACCAUUCCUGCCCCUUUUUCUUGGCCAAUUCCACUGCUUUCCCUUUCAUCUAUUCACCCAAAACUCAAAAAGUAUGUGUAGUUUGGCCUAAAUCAGUUUGAACCAAUUUGAAAAUGUACCGAUUUUCAAAAUUGGAUUUGCCUAGUUUUAGAAUCUCACGGGUAUAGAACUGGGCUUUUGGCUACUGUUGCACAUGGAGGGACUCAAGCACUCAAUUCCACGGAUCACCGGCAUUUUACUUUACCACCAUGACCGAACGAUUCAUGUGUUCAUGGGCAAUUGACAGCAUUACAUAUCUAUAAUCGUUUGCUUCGGACACAAUCACCGAUUCACUUCUAGUCCAAUCGUUAGGACCGCAAACUGGCAACCUAACUGGUUCUCCGACUGGCCUAAGUUUGAAAACAUUGGUGCCAAGUUCCUAUCCCUUCUUAAAACAAGUAGAUAAUGACCAUUUUAUAUGAAUUGAGUUGUAAUUGACGCAAUACUUUUGCCACAUGAUGAAAGAUGAUAGCUAAGUGAUUAUAACUAAUAAACGUUGAUGCUCCUCUUUCUCCUUGAUUAUAUUAGACUUGGAAAUUCUUUGUAUUGCUCCAAAUGAGGUUGAUGCUCAACUUCCAUCGUACAUUACUCCUGAUGUUGCUCUAGUUGGAGCUAUGACUAAUGCUUGACCUUUCCCUUAAAAAUUUCGUAUUCAACAGUAAGUCUUUGCUUUGGCAUCGUACAGACUUCAAUUUAAGAUGCUAAUAAAUCUUAGUCAAGAGGGAAAAAAAUUUAACAUCUACCACUCUUAGGAACCUUAUAUGCUAUUAGGAACUUUGUCGAGCACGGCAUGCUAUCGAGAGGUCGUAGUACUUUGUUAGGCUUAAGAAGAGAUCUAAUCUCCCCAAUCAAAAGAAAUGAAAUCUAUCCACCAUUGGAUUUUGUUAUAAAGCAAAAAACCAGAAAAUGAUGCAGUGCAAUAUAUUUAGCUACAUAGUAGCAGUUUGAUUUGUCACAUGCAGUUUUUGGAUAUCAUGGUUUUUAUGAGCAUGAGAAGUAAACUAGUCACAACAUUUGGAAGCAAAUUACUCAGUAUCAUCUCCAGUGAGUUUGCUAAGAAUUUUCUUUUGAUAAGCAAAAGAAAUUUAUUGCACAAUGAUGUCAAGCAUAUGCUAGCCCAUGUAACAAAUUAUAAACGCAGUUCAUGCUAUGAGGUAUAAGAAAGAAUGCACAUUAGUGUUGACACCUAAAUUUUGGCGACCCGUUUUGUCAUUUAUUGCAUUAAAAAAUUAGGGGUUAAUUUUAUCCCCGAAAAAAUAGUCAAUUGUAUAGCAUAUAGAUUUAAGUGCAUUUGCAUUUUUUGCAUUUGUUUAUUGGACCGGUGGCGGAUGAGUUCGAAUUAGUGGUUUUGAGCUUUAAAUUGAUAGGCUGGACUAAGCCCACGAAGGGAACAAAUUGGCCCAAGCCCUUUUUUUUAUGAUCGAAAAUGAUCUCGUGAAAAAUAGAGAUUUGAAAUUUUUCCAGGAUAUGUUGGGGGAUUUUUCAAUAUCUUCGGAUAGGGCAAGUGCGACAAAAAUAUUGGGAGCUCAUCUUUAAAAUAUUCAGAAUCCGAGAAAAUUUUAUUACGAUCCCGAACUUUGGGCAAUGUUCGAUCAAUUGUGAGUUGGUAUUUGGAAAGAAAAGAAUUGUUUUUGUUGAUCUUGUGAUUAUAAAUGUGCGGACAAAAACAUCAAAAAGGGCAAGAAGGAUUAGCAUUAUUAAAAUAUAUAUUCAAUGAGGAUAUAUGGAUCCGCAAUGCGUACAAAGGAAAUAUAAACCCUCACAAAAGAGGGAAGUCAGUACGUGGACUUCUUUCCUAUAUUCAAAUUUCCCUUUUUGAAGUUCAUAUUCGGCCAGUAUAAAAAGCGUAAUGUUCGAGGAAAAAAGGGGAGGCCACACAAUUGAGAUACACGGCCAUAGGAGAGAACACACGCUAGAGAGAAUAAAAGGGAGAAAUCAUGGGGUUCGGCAAUUCAUUUGAGCGAUACACGUAAGAAGAAAGAGAGAGAGAGAGUCCACGGCCGAGUACUUCGCGUCCAAAAAUCUCAAGGCUGUGCGUCCACCGAUCCUCACCACCGUCAUUAGAAUCCUCACUGUCACUCACUGCUGCCUUCCGAAGUUGAGAAGUUGCUGCCUCGCUGAAGAUCUCCGAGCACUUUCUGUCGCAACUGAUCGUGAGUGAUACGUGCAUGGUGGUGUUCACUUCAACAACACACCCUCAUGGUCAAAGUUUGAUAAUCAAGGAGGUUUAUCACAAGACCUGCAGAAUUCGCAAAGAACUUGGGAACUAGCCAAGUUUGUCAUUGGUCAAAGUCUCCCUAGCGUCCUUUGCUACCUUGCCGAGAAGCCCUGCACAGCUACGUCAUCUCCAUACGAAUAAAGCUCGGGCCCAACUAACGCGAUGGCUGAUGCUGCUCCCUGUCCGAGACCUUGACAUUGGAGCCCCACCGCACUGCUGUCCGAGCCCUGCCGAUGAGCUGACACUCCUAUUGAUACCGACAUCGCCUGCUUGAAGCUGCUGCCAUUGUUGCUUACGUCCACAAACCGAGAUUCAGCAAAUUCCCGACAACGCUGUUGCUCCCCCGACGUUGCAGUUUCCUCGUGUCGCUGAUCAGACGACGUUGUCAUCCAAAACCCCGUCGUGAAUAGCAAAGCCACCGUUCCCAUUCGCAUCCAAACCGAGUCGAUCCCGAAGCUCCUAUUUUUUGCAGGUUCGUUGACCGUGAGCCCACGGUCAUCCUUUACUGAGGAGCACCAUUGUGCCGAGCUUCGUUCACGCACCGCCCUCUCCCGUUGAGCGGAUUCCAUCCGGUUCAAAUUUGGUAACAUUAUUUGCAAAAUUAGGUAAUUAUCUCAUCUAAAUUUGAUUUGGAUAUUUUAUUGCCUAAUGCAUGCUUUUCAAUAUCUUACGUGCAUGUUUGAAUUAUCCGCGUGUUCCCAAUUACGAUUUAUUGCCCAAUUCGCAACCACACACGGAUUUUUUAUUCCAUCUAUAAGGCUUUAAAUGGAAUAAUUAACCACGCGGGAGUAAAAUUGAUAUUUUGAUCUUUAAGGCUUAAGAUUAAUUUAUCGAUUUUAUUAGCAAAAGAAUUAAGUUUGAAUUUCAAUUCGAAUGGUGGAUAGCGUUUUUGAUGAUCAUGGAUGGUUUGAUGUUUAUCUCUUAAUUGUUUUGUUUAUCCCGAAAAUACAAAAAAAUUGCAUUUGCAUGUCGUGUAGAAUUAUGGCAUAUUUUGUACGUCAUUGCAUAUUAGGGUUAAAUUGCACUUAGUUUAAUUUUAGGUAAUAUUUUUCUUAAUUUAUUAUAAGUUUAGGUAUUUUCUUAAAUAGAAUGCAUUUUAGGAUUAUUUGGGUUAAGAUAAUAUUUUAUUUUAAAUUAGGAUUUGGUUUAACUUAAUUCCUAAUGCAAAUUGAAUAGGAUCUUAAUCUAGCUAGAUAAUUUUCACAUUUUAUCUAAUUUCGAAUUUUAGGAAAAAGAAAAAAUGUCACAGGUUAAAUUAGUUUUAUUAUUUAGGAUAAAAUGCAUUCUUUUAGGAAAAAGGAAAAAUGUCAUAUGCACGUCAUUAGGGUUAGAUUCAUUGAGAUGCGUGUCAUUUAGUAUUUUUGCUAGGCCCAUUUAAUUAGAAAUUAUAUGUCAUUAGAAUUAGGUCAUUUAGUUAAUAUUGCAUUGCAUAUUGCAUGAUUUUCAUCAAUUAAGUAAAAACAAAAAAAAAAAUUGCGUGUUAAUUAGAAACCAUAUCUAGGGUUGUUGAUGUGGAUUUUAAUUUAACACUGCAAUGCUUUCGUUGCUUUGAGGUAAGUUUUUGCAAUUUAUUUAUUGUUUAUCUGAGUGUUAAAUUGAUGGUUUGUGCACCCGUAUGAUCACCUCACAUAUUAGGGAAAUAAAUUUAAAAUCAAUCCAAAUUGCUUGCCAAACAUUUUUUCAAAAUAAAAAGAAAGGUACCGAAAGGGCAUUAGAGGAAUAUAGUGUAACAAAGUCCCCGUACCCAUAGUCUCUGGUUCGUAGAAGUAAAGUAAAUCUUCCGUUACUUUAGUUGGGUUUCUAAUCGACCCACCAAAAAUAGAUUAGUGGCGACUCCUAAUUAAAAAUUUGCAUGUUAAGAACUUGAACCGAAAGUCGCGAAUUGGUAUGAGCUUGGGAGAGCUCGAGUUAAGUCUAGGCUUAACAAUCCAUCAACCAAACCCUAGGUGGUUCACAUCCAAAAAAUUGGUCGCGACAGCUUGGCGAUGUCGUUGUCACACAACCAAAAGCCGUGGAAAGCCAUCUAUCAUUCAAAUAAAAAAAAAUAAAAAAAAACUAGUCUUGCUAUUUUCAAAAGCUCUUGUAUUUCUUUCUUCACAAUGAAAUAGUAAGCUAUUGAAGUGAAUCAACCAUGAACACAGCCCAACAUAAACAAGGAGUAAUAAAAACUACUUACUGUUUGAUGUUGGGUUCUAAAAUCCAACAAAAGGAAGUUCUCUAGUAGAACCCAAAAACAGGAGUGUGCCAUAGAUUCACGGAUAAUUUAAACAGAAAUUACAAGACCUAUGAAACAGGCAAUUGGAUAGAAAGCAAAUGAAGGUUUGUUGCAGAAGGCAGUCAUAGACAUUGUGGACCUGAAUAUCCAUGCAUAGUGAUGAACAAGGCAUUACUGCAGGGUGAGCUUGGCAUCUAAUUUGUAACAACAAGAGAGAGAAUGUCAAUCAUCAUAGCAGCUGAGGCUGUGUUCUCCAUGAUAGCUACUACCCAAUCAUCUCUUUGACCCAACAAUUGAGAUUCAGAUGCAGGGUGGCUAGUUCAUAUUCAGAAUAGCAGAUUAGUACAGCCACACUCAUUAAGUCAGACCAAUAACUGAGAAUGAACUAGCCAUUGUAAAUAGACUGCUUCUGAUGACCUUGCUGGCAUCAAGGCGAGCUGAGAGUUGCCAAAAGCAUUAUCUGCACAUUCUUUCUGAAUCAUUGAUUUCAGGAGUUCCAGUGGCAAUUUUUAGGACUAACAAGGAAUGAGAUGGAUCAGCCCACUAUUAAUUAACUUGGUUUAUAGAUGUAAGUAGAGUUUGUCUAAUUAAAUCUGUACAAAAACUCGAAUCUUUCAACUCGUGAAGAAGAAGACUGGAAAGCAAGUUAUCUUUACAACUCGAAUAAGAACAUAUGACCUUAAAAUGAAUCAUGAGGCUUGUAUUUAUUGUCAAUUUCAUGUAUAUCCAUUAAGGAGCUAUCUCCAACUGCAAUAUCCUCCAAUUCACUGAUGGCUUCUAUUUGGUUAAGCUGCAUAGCAAUGCCUCCAUCCUCAGAGCUACCCUCUAGAAAAUCAUUAUCUUCCAUAUCUGAUGAGUCCAUAAAAGUUUCCAUCUUUUUCUUCCUCCCCAUAUAACCAAUAAGGCUUGGGACUUUUUCCUUCUAAAUAACGAGCAAACAUUUAUGGAUCAGCUCCGCACCUUCAUAAGCUCCUCUGAAGAACACACUAAACCUCUUUCCCCUCUCAGAGACAUAGAAAACGCCAUAAUGCUUCAAUAGGAGUCUCAUCAGCUUCUGAGGCAUCACAAAUUCUUGUCGAAAGUGCGCGAGGUGAUUGGUUACCAACCUUUUUUCCAUUGUGAAGCUAAGUAACUCGUGCAUUGCUGCAAUGGAUCUCUUAUUAAAUUCUUUCAAUCCAGCUUGAAGGCCACAUGCAUCAGCGUAAGGAGUCAAGUAAGACCUUUUCUGAAAGUGCUCAAUCUUCCGUCCAUAUCUACACACCUUCUUGUAACUGGCAGGAAACUUCAAGGGGAAAGAUAGGGAAAGCAACCCUGGAGUAUGAAAAGGCAAAUUAUGAUACCCCCAAUAUGGCCUUCUCCAACUCUGUGAUAGCCCAAGCAGGAUUCCACUCUAUGAGCUCGAGGUAAUCAACUUCAUCUGGAGAUUUAACCACUUUGAAGUGCUGCGGAUACUCAUGUACCCACUUGCUCCUAAAAUCAGCUGGCAAACCAGACUCUCCUGAAAUGAGCAAUUUUGUCCAGAGGAAGCCAUUUAUCGACCGACGUCAUCAACAUCCUAGUUACGUAUUCAACAGCAUGCCAGAAUGUCCCCUAAUCAAUCUCUCCUCUUCCUCUAACAAGUCUUCAGCUUCUUUAGUUAAUUCCAAACCACAAUACCCCCUUCUGAUCCUUACACAACUCAAAACAGUUUUGGUGACUUCCGAAUAAAAUCCACUCUACCGUUUGCUUGGCUAUAGAUCCAGCGAUCUCACAGGGAUUAUCGGGUUCCUUUUUCAACAUUUCCAUCAAAACCAACACCUUCGACACCACUUUUGCUUCUCAGUGGCAAUUUCGAGAUCAUGGACCCUCUUGUCCUUGUUCCUAUCUUACACUCUCUUGCUGGUGGUCAUGAAUCUACGUUGUGACCAGUUAAGUAAAAUCUCAAGACAAAAACAUUCGAGAAGAUCGCCAUAAAAGAAAACACAUGCUCCGUGUUCAUUGCCUUUUACUGAAUCACUGAGUUACAAAUUUUAAGACGUGUGCCCAAACUAGUCACGAGCAAGUUCUUAGCAAGUCAUUCCGGAUAACUCAAUUAUUCAUUAAUAUUUUCUUAAUUCUAUGAGCAAUAAGCAUGCAGUUCAAACAUAAUGCAACUAAACCAAGUAUUGACCACAAUAUGGAUCGAUUCUUUUCCUUUUUUAAGCGGAACUUAAUUCAUUCUAAUUUAAGAAAAUUAUAAGCCGAACAGGAUUAAGAUAAAUAAAAAACCAAGCUAAAAAAAAAACUGAGUUAUUUAAUGUGAAAUAAAUAAAUAAAUCAAACCAAUAUUUUCCUCUCCCUCUUUAGGAGCGUAUCUGAUAAAUUCUUAAAACAUAUUCAUUAAACCUCAGUCAAACCUCAGAAUAACGAAACUCAGUCAAACCUCUUUUUCUUAAAAGAGAAAAAAGAAAAAUAAGCUGAGAGCCAUUCCCCCCCCCCCUUCCCGCCUCUCCGAUCGUUUCCAAAAUCUGCCAAAAAAAAAAAAUUCGAAAGUUUCUCCUCCUGCGCAGAGUGAAAUUCCAUGGUCGUCGUAGAUGCUUUUGUCUCUCAGGGGAGUUUCACGAAGCUCCGCUUGAUUUCACCUCAUGUCCUUUUCCGCGGGCACGAUCGCCGGCGAUGGUGAUUCUGAGUUUCGUCUUGUGUUCGCUCGUUGAUGUUCAGAGCCAAAGAGCAGAAGAUCGUGGAACGAGAGGACGUCGACGACGGAGCAGAAGACCUGCUCGAAACGAUCGACAAACAAACGUGAGUUACGGCAAAAACAGAGUGGAGGCAACUCCUCUCUGUUCAUAAUGCGUUUUCGUAAUGCGUUUCGGUGGCAUCCUUUGAUUCUGAGAUGAUUAUCGUGAUUUUCUGAUCCGUGUUCCGAAAGUUAAAAUUGAGAUGCAAAUGGUUCGAUGAAGCUGUGGCCGUGAUUAUCGUGAUUUACAUCUCGAGCUUUCUCUCGAACUUGCUGUGAUUUCCUGCGCGUGCAGUGGUUUUCACUUUUCAGUUUUUGUCUCCUGACCAUACAAGAGCAAUUCCAGCCUUCCUUAUGUUACGUGACCUUGGAAUUGCACCAUCGUACGUCUUAUUUUCCAUGUAUUCGUGACAUAGCUGGAUUAAUAACGAAUGUCCCAAGCUUAAUUCAUCGAUAAAGACUGUUGGAACGCUAGAUUGUCAUUGAUCAUUUAGGAAAUGCUUUUGUCCUGUCAUUCUACAUUCACCAGAAAACAUAGAGUUUAACACGAUGGUUAAGCUCGAGUCUUCGUUGAAGGACGAUUCUGAUUCGCUCAAAUCCAGCAAAGUGAAGAAUAAUGUGGAGAGAAUCGACAACUGGAAGCCAAGCCCUCGAUAAGCUUUUAGGCGGUAACAGACUUUCUUUUGCAGACUGUGUGUCUUUUUCUCCAUGCAUUUCAACGAAAACAAAUUUCACCGGUUUGGCAAUCUUGACAGGUGGUAUUGAAACUCUGGCAAGUACGGAAGCAUUUGGCGAACCUGGGUGAAAAUCACAGUCCAACAACGUUACCUUUGAUGAACUUUUAGUUGUUUUUGUUAAUUAGCUUUCUCAGAAAAAUGCUGCGGACGUCACUUCAGGUCUGGGAAAACACAGCUUGCAUGCACCCCAUGCGUUACUUCCCGGGUUGGUCUGAAUUGGAUAUUAGGUUUCUGUCUUGAACUUCUGUUGCAUUUGUUUUUUUUUUUUUUUUUUCCUGAUGAAAAAUGCCAAAUAGUAACAUAAUGAUUGAAUUUCUAUGGAGUAUAAAGAUGUGGGUAAUCUUGGCAUCAUGAUGCGUGUAUUAGGUGAUUCUGGAAGUAUGGCACUCUCAUUUUCUGUAAUCUGCAGUCAGUAUACUGGAACGCAUGUACAGUGGCUCAAACCAAGCAGGAAAAAGGCCAGAAGAGUUUGUACUAUGUCACAACCGAGUAAAAGCCUUAAUCAUAGUCGGACUCGGACUUGGGUUGAUCAUUAGUCGAAUGUGAUGCUUGAAGAUACUCUACUUUAUUUGCAAAUCCUACAACAGUAUUUACCCCUAUUUUCAAUCAUUCUUUAUUAAUGGUUUGUGGAUUCCAUGGCUGUAAAAUAUUUUCAGCUGCCAACUCACAUGAGAGGAGGAAAUGGCAAGGUAGCUUAUAUCGACGCAAGAGGAACUUUGUAUCCUAUUAUGAUCUGUCUGUAUUUUUCUUGACCUCUUGACAAAGAUACUUGUGUUUCUGAAUCGUAUGUAAGUGCAUGUGCACUUUCUUAACUUAGUACACCUGUAGUCUUAGAUAACGUAAGCAAUGCACUUUCAAUUUUAAUCAAAUUCUAGACAUAAACACGCUCCAUGUCCGUCACUCUUUACUAAAUCACCUAGUUACAAAUUUUAGGAUGUAUGCCAAUCUAGGUUUAGCACAACCAAAUCGGUCAUGAGUAAGUGCUUGGCAAGUCAUCGUGAAUAAACUUAAUUGUCGAUUGAUAUUUUCAUGAUUUCAUGAGCAAUCAGUGCGGAGUUUGAGCACAAUGCAAUUAAACCAGGAACUGACCUCAAUGCAGAUCGAUUAUUUUCCUUUUCUAAGAAGAAAUUUAUGCGGUCCAAUUUGAGAAAAUUAUAAACCAAGCGAGACGAAGGUGAGUACAAAAUUAAACCAAAUCGAACUAAAUUAUUCAGUCCGAAAUUAAAAAUAAAUAAUAAUAAUAAAAAAAAAAAAGAGGUCAUACCCAAUUUUCUCUCAUCCUCUUUAAGAGUGGAUUUAAAAAGAUUUUAAGAAUUUAUCAGAUCCAUUAAAGCUCAAUUUAUAAUAACAAAACUCCAUCAAACGUAAGUCAGGGCAAAACAAGGGCGUAGGCAACUGCUGUCUGUUCAUCUCAUCGCUUUCAGUUUCUCGUCGAUGUUCCGGUGCGUCGUUUGAUUCUGAAGUUGAUCAUCGUGAUUUUCUGGUCUCUGUUCUCAAGUUGACUGUAUAUCUCUUUGAAUGUCGAUGUUAAGUGACUCUGAAUACUGCUAAGUGCAUGAGCUUGAUUUCGGUUUCGGUUGCUCAGUUAAGCUCGAUUUUCCUGGAACAUCACCGUGAAUCCAUUGGCGUUUUUACAUCUCGGCCUUUCUCUCGAACUUGUCGCGAUUUUCUGCGCGUACGAUAGGUUUUAGUUUUUGUCUUCUGAUCAUCCAAGAGCAAUUCAGCCUUCGUUAUGUUACGUGACAUCCGCCGGAUGUCUUUUUUCCCGUGUAUUCGUGACGUAGCUGGAUUAAUAACGAAUAUCCUAAGCUAAUUUCAUCAAUAAUAUCUGUUGGAACGCUAGAUUGUCAGUGAUGAUCUAGGAAAUGCUUUUGUCCUGACAUUCUACAUUCACCAGAAAACUUAGUUUAACGCGAUGGUUAAGCUUGAGUCUUCAUUGGAGGACAAUUCUGGUUCGCUGAAAUCCAGCAAAGUGAAGAAUAAUGUGAAGAGAAAAUGAAAGACUAAGAUCGAACAGUAUCUCGAGCGUGUAAUGCGGAAAGCUGAUAUAUCUGCCGAGGAGGAUCUGAAAUUGGAAAGGAAGCUUGCCAAGAAGCUCAAGGUGAAGGAUGGACAGCUAUGUGGGUCAGACGAUGGAAUGAAUGUGUUAUUUCAAGGAAUUCCUUCUAUUCUUGAUUCUUUUGAACAAGAAGCGCCAGGGGUAAGAGAAAAUCGUAGCGAAAUAUUUGAAGGUAAAUCUUCAGGGGAAAAAAGUGAAAUGUCCAACUAAGAGCAUAUGCAGGAUGAUGGAAAAGCUGUUUAUGUUAAGGCUGGAGCCUGUGACUCAGGAGACUAGAAACCCCUUCAUUUCAGCUCUCAAUUGAGUUCAUGAGCUCCGCAAAUUUCAAUUCAUUUCCUUUUCAUGAUGUGAUUGCCAAGAAUGAUUCUGAGUUUCCAUUUGACUCCCUCUUGAACCUGUCGUGAUUUUCUGUGCAUACGAUAGUUUAAUUUUCUUUCCUUAAAUGACGAGAAGUAAUUUCCGCUACUACUUGAAUAUGAUACGUCUAAUUCACCUUUUUGACGUAUGUCUUCUAAAUCAUACAAGAGUAAUUUGGCCUUUGUUAUGUUACGUCACAUAGUAAUUGCACCAUCAGUACAUCUAUUAUCCACGUAUUUAUGGCAUAGAUGGAUUAAUAACGAAUCUCCUAAGCUAAAUUCGUCAACAAUCACUAUUGGAACACUUGACAUUCUACAUUCACCAGAAAAUAUAGAGUUAAACACGAUGGUGGGUUGUUUUUUUUUCGUUUGCAGGUAUUUCUCAGGGAAUCCAUGCUGGAGAUGUGAAAAAAGAUACAGGAUGCGGGGAUCGACACUUGCAAAUGUCUUGAUGAUGCAUACAGAGAAGGUAUAUCUGAUAUUCAGUUCCGAAAAUUAAGCGAAGGUAUUAUUUGGCUAAGGUGAUUUCCUGUGUCUUUGUUUUGUUUUUUUGUAGCACUUAACUAGAACCAAAGGUUUAUCUGAAGCAAAAGUUGAUAAGAUAUGCGAAUCAGCUGAAAAGAUAGUGGUUAGAGCUUAAUUUCUUCUUAUCCUGAGAUGGCGCCGUAAUCAAUUGCAACUUCUAUAUGCAUCUCACAAUAACUUCUCUUUGUUUUCAUCAGAAUUCUCAUUUUAUUACGGGAAUUGAAUCUAUGCUCAGAGCAAGUUAUGCUCAGAGUAAGUCCUUAAUUCGGCAAAUUUCGAGCUAAAAUGGUUCGGAAGACCUGAAUGAGUCAUUGACCCUUGAAAUAAAGCCUGCAAAUUAACAUAUCGACUGUAGAGAACUGCACUUGCUCCAAACCCUACUUGUCUCACAGCACAAAGUACUUUCAAUGUCUUCGUUUUUUCCAGAGCAAGUCGGUUAUUUGCAUCACAACUGGAAGCCAAGCCCUCAAUGAGCUUUUAGGCAGUAAUAGACUUUCUUUUGUAGAUUGUGUAUAUCAUUCUUCAUGCGUUUCCACAAAAACAACUUUCCCUGGUUCUGCGAUGUUAAACAGGUGGUACUGAAACUCACGCAAUUACAGAAGCAUUUGGCGUAUCUCGAUGACAAGCACAGUCCAAUAACGUUACCCUUGAUGAACUUUUAGUUGCUUUUGUUAGUUGGCUUUCUCAGAAAAUGCUGCUAACGUCACUUCAGGUCUGGGAAAACACAGCUUGCACAUACCCUGUUUGUGACUGCUCAGGUUGGUCACAAUUGCAUGUUAGGUUUUCGUCGUUAACUUCUAUUUCAUGUUAUGUUUCCUAGAUGAACAACAUAAAUAGCAAGAUAAUGAUUGAAUUUCUAGUAAAGAAUAAAGCUAUGGUUAAUAUUGGCAUCGGAACAUGUUUAUUAGGUGAUUCUGGAAGUUUGGCACUCUCAUCAUCUGUAAACGGCAAUCAGCAUACUGGAACACACAAUCUAUAGUGGUUCAAACCAAGUAGGAAAAGGCCAGGAGAGCGUACUAGGUCAUAACCAAUCAGAAGCCUUAGUCAUUGUCAGACUUGGACUUGGGUUGAUCAUCAGUUGAAUGGGAUGCUUGAAGUACUCUACUAUAUAUGCAAAUCCUACAACAUUAUUUUCCCUUCUUUCCAUCACUCUUCAUUAAAGCUGAUCCCGUUCCAUGAGAUGAUAUCUUAUGGUUUGUGGAUUCCACGAUCCUAAUAAUUUUAACAGCUGCCAACUCACGUGGGAGGGGCAAAUGGCAAGGUAGCAUACCUCGCCACAGAAAAAACUUUGUAUCCUAUUAUAAUCUGUUGGUCAUUUCCUUGACCUCAACAAAGCUGCUUUUGUUUCAUACUCGGCUUAUGUCCAUGUAAGUGCAUAUGCACUUUCUUAACUUGGUACACCUGCAGUUGCCAUGAUUGAAUUGUACAAAUAGCUGAAAGAUUUGGCAUGGAUCCUGGUGCCGUCACACGUAAUGGAAGCAAUGCUUUCUACACUGGUGGCAAUCUUUUCUGGCUAAUGUACUUGCUGUAAUCUAGUCUUUCCAUGAAUUUGAAGAUCAUUUAUGCCCGUGCCUCUACUUCUAAGCAUCUGUACAACUUCCUUCUCAGUUUGGCUGCCAAAGUGUCUGAAGAACCAUUUAGGUUCCUGGUAAGACAGUGCUCAAGAAUCAAACUGCACACAUUUUGUAAGGUGUCGAUGGUUGACCUUAGCUGAGUAAUAUCUUUCAGAUUGUGGAUUCAGUGAUCGCUCUCUUUCAAGUGGAAUAUAAUGGAAGGGGAGAACUUGCAGGGCGUCAGGUCGAUUCCGAAACCAUCAAAUCAUGCGAGUUGCAAAUUUUCAGCUCAUCUAGUUUGACACUAAUAGAUUUCCAAUUGCAGCAAACAUUGGCACAAAUGCUCUCACGCUUACUUAAGAUAGCCGAGGAAUUUAAUGUGGCAGUGUACAUGACCAAUCAAGGUACCGCAUCACAUCUCUUUUCUCCCACCUAGUCAUGCAUCCUUUAAAGGAUCUUAUCCAAUUUAGCUCUUUGAUGGUUGCACACUGAAAAAUAGCAAUUUGGUGACUACACUAAGCUCAUACUAGUUCUCAUAAAUCUCAAGAACCAGCUUUUUGGUGUAAACUAGUGAUGUGCACGGUAGCUGCAGUCCAUGAGUUAAGCAAAAAAGAUAAUUUUUUUGACAACUUUUUCUUUGAUUUCUUUGUUUCAGUGGCAUCAAAGAAGCAUGCAGGUGGGCAUGUUCUGGGUCAUGCAACCACAAUUAGGUUGAUGUUUACAAAUGGCAAAGGUGAGCAGUGGGUUUGCAAGGUGUUCAAAGCCCCAGACCUACCUAAAGCUGAAGCUAUAUCCUUUUUGUCUGGAUCUUCGUCUAGCUAUACACUUUAUUGAAAUUUACCAGAUUACACUGCAGACAUUAAACGAAAUUUCUAGAAAUCUAAUAUCAAUCGGAGAGAAAGUUGAUACUAAGUCUAUAUAUGGAUAGGUGGAGACUAGAAUUUGAGCAGUAUACUUGUAGUAUACUUACAUGCGCUGCCUGUGCUAUGGAAAUAAAAUACCCAACCAUUGAUGAUGCCAUACUGCAGAUCUUCCUCUAGUUAUAUACUUCGUUGAAAUUUUUCAGACCAUGCUGCAGAUACCAAGUAAAAUAUCUGGAAGUCUAGAUCAAAAUCUGUGAGAAAGUCGAUAAUUAGUCUAAAUAGGGAUAGGUGGAUACCUGAUUUAAGCAUGAUACUCACUUUAUACUUGAUGUUGCCUGGAGAUCCAUGAACAUGUUGAAUACGAAUUUUGUCCAGAGGAAUUAAACAAAAAGAAGUAGCUGUUGAGAAUUUUCCUCAGUAGGACCGGUAUGAUAUUUUUAGCUGUGCUGUUAUGUAGAUGAUGCACAUCUAUCAAGACCAUCACUUAAUUUAAUCAAAAAAUUUAGGAAGAGCUCAUCUAUCAAUAAGAUGAGACUGAGAUAUUCAAUAUAUGUUGAACUUGACAAACACAUGUUUUUCAGAUAACACCAGGAGGCAUCACCGAUGUGAAGGACUGAAGGAGUCUCUCCAACCAGGAGGGCAGGCGAAGUGCUUUUUUUUGUUAAUCUGCAAUUUGAUAUUAGUCAUCGUAUUGACCGCAAGAGGCAUAUAAUGAGCUCCCAAGAACUUGUUCAUUUCCUUUCUCUGCAAUGGACACUUUGUCACCCUUGUCAUAGCUUGUCCCUAAGUUUCAUGUGCUCGACAACAAACCAUUCAUGAAUGACAUGAGAUACUUUCUCUAACUGUGAUGGUGACCCAAAAGAUUUGUCAACUACAAUGUCACCUUUGUGUAUCAAAUGCAAAAUAUAUCAUAAGGGUAAGGCCGAAGUAUCCUUUCUGCUUCUUCUAUUUAUGUUUAGCCAAUUGAAUGCAACUAAUACAGCCUUAUAUGCUCUUAGGAACUUAAUCGAGCAUGGCAUGUCAUUGAAAGGUCAUAGGACUUCAUAAGAGAUGUAACCAAAAGAAAAUUAUUCUGUGUCAUUUCGAAUAACCUCAAAUGAAAUGAAAUUUAUCAAUCACUGUGUUUCGUCAUAAAGAAAAAUAAAAUAAAAUUCUCCACUGCAAUAUGUUUUUAACUACACAUAAUAGCAUAUGGGUUUAAGGUCAACAGUUUGUGGAUACCAUGGUUUUUAUGAGCCCGAGAAGAAUCUAGUCACAAUAUUUAAAAACUAAUUACCCAACAUCAUCUCCAUUGAGUUCACAAUAAUUUUCUUUUGAUAAUUAAAAAAACUUUGUUGAACUUUCUUACACGAGCAAUCUGGCUUUUGUUUAUGUUACACGACAUUCAAAUCGCACCAUUGCAGUAGCUGCAGUCCUUGAGUUAAGGAAAAAGAUGAUUUUUGAUGACUUUGUCUUUGAUUUAUUUAUUUCAGUCGUAGAUGAUCUAGGCGGUGCUGUGUUCAUAUCAGACCGAAAGAAACCUGCGGGUGGGGAUGUUCUGGCUCAUUUAGACACAAUUAGGUUGAUAUUUAGGAAAGGCAAAGCUGAGCAGCGCGUCUGCAAGUUGUUUAAGGCCCCAGACCUACCGAAAGCUGAAGCCAAGUCGAUACUGAGUCUACAUAUAGAUAGGUGGAGACCUGAUUUAAGCACGGUGCUCACAGUAUACUUGAUGGUGUAUGGAGAUCCAUGAACAUGUCGAAUACAAAUUUUGUGCAGAGUAAUUAAACAAAAAGAAGUGGAUAUCCAGAAUUUUUUUAAGCAGGACUAGUAAGUUAGUUGUGCAGCCUGUGCUAUGUAGACUGCACAUCUAUCAAAACCAUAACUUACUUAUGUAAGAAAUUUUAACGAGAGCUCAUAUGUCAAUAGGGUGAGAUCGACAAGCGCACGUUUUUCAGAUAACAACAGGGGCAUAGCCGAUGAGGACUGAAGAGGUCUCUCCUACCAAGAUGGCCAGGCGAAGUGCUUUUUUAUUUUAUCUUUUGGGUUAAUCUGCAAUUUGAUUUUAGUCAUCGUAUUGAUAGGUACCUCUAUCUCCAUGUUAAGUUUGUAUUGGCAGGCAUCAAGCUCCUUUUGACAGCUUUAAAAUUGCACGAGAGGUUACCGCUUUAGCCUUAAUAUCUAACAUGCUAUCAUUGUCUGUUAUUAAAGUUCACAUGACCCUUCACAAGGUGUUGUGUAAACUUGAUUUCCAUAUGAGAACCAGCACGCUCCAAGUUAUAAUGGUUCACAUUUGUUCUCAUAUGACAAUAUCGUCCUGGUUUGAUUUACUAGUAGAGGUUCUAUGCGGAAAAUAUUACAUUGGAUAGACUUUGCAUGACGGCUAAAUGAAAUGCCAGAAAGAUAUUACUGCACAAAGCAUGAUCAGGUUCUGUAAAGGCUUGGUUUUAUAAGUACAUAUACAGCUGCAUAAAAACGAUGUGAUCUCAAACUCUCAAUAUAGAGCAACGGACCAUUAGAGCUGAAAAAAUUGUCAAUGUAUGAGAAAGGGUGACUGGGUCAUAAGCAACAGAAGGCCAUUCAAUAGCUAAUGGCCUGACCAAAAGGGGCCACAAUGCAUAUGACUCGGCAGUGCAAGGACAAGUUCACAGCACUUCCAACUCUAGGCAUACUGGACUCCUUAGUCUCUGCACCACUUCAAAUGUAGCGCUUUGUACUCAGCCCAAGCUAUUCACCCUAGGAACUGGCUUCACCUCAUUCGGUGCAUGCUCGUAACUCCUCAAACAUUUAGAGCUGAUAAAGAAGCAUCAUGCGUUGGAAAGAAGGCAACAUUAACAGGUGAACGAUUUGGCACUCAAAAAUCACUGGAAGAGCAACAUUGUACGUGAAAAGGCACAUUUCAAUACAUGGAUACAGGUAAAGAACACCAUUUUAACCUUAGAUUAUAGAUUUAUGUUCGAAACCAAUUUUUCCAAAAUGCUGUUACCCAACAACAUAACAUUCUCCUCUGAACUCUGCUUAAUAUCAGCAGAGCUCAUCCAUCCUUACUUUUCAGAUUGCAAUGCAUGGACCAAAUUCCAGUGGAGCUGCAUCAACAAACUGAAAAAAUAAUUACCUUUAGGAAAUGGUGCGAAAGACUUCCCAAAGCCCAUCUUCACGACUUCUGCAUCAUCUGAGCGAACAAGACUGCCUCUAGAAUCAAUUCCCCAGGAGGAAGGAAAACUGCCAUAACAUCCUGAAUGAUUCAGAGGACAGAAAGGAUUAGAUAUAGAUCACAGGUGGAGGGAGAGAUUGAGAGCGAUAUCCCAGAACGAAACCAAUGAACAUUAUUGUUACUCACACAGGCCAGACAAGGGGUUUUAGAAGUGCUGUCGAAGAGCACAAAACCAAACUUCCUGCUGAUGUCUCUCACGACUUGAUCAGCAGAGUAGGCCUCCGAUCCCUCAGAGUUCAAUAAGCUUCUACGACGAUAAUGACCUCAUUAGCGGUUUUUUUCCAUCCAUAUUGCUGCUUAAGAAGAGCAACAUUGGCUCUGUCCUUGGAACAAGAAACCGCAAACAAUCUGUCACAGAGGGUAAGGCAUGUCAAAUCUCGAUGUGGGACAAGCUGAUUGAGAAGAGAAGACAGUACGGCAAUUUCCGUCAAUUAACAAUCCAAUAAAUUUCAUUUUCUGGCUUUCAAAAUGAACCAGAGACUCGAGUUCCACUAUCUCCUUUAGGCUGACAAAUGGAACCUUUCAUGGUAUCACAGUAAAGUCCAACAAAAAUCAGUUUGAUCUAACCGUUGCCUCUCUAAAUAAUGAAAUCACGAUUAUUUUUUUCUUUUUUGGUGGUUAAAGCUACCUUUAUCAAGAGAUGGAGUGGGAAUUUGAAUAGAAGAAAGAGAAACUUUAUUCUUUGACCAGGUAAUCAGUUUUUACAUGGGUUUCGGCCAACAUAAUUCAUUCAAAAUUUAGCUGUUUCAUUCACAUAUCCAAACCUCUGUUUUAAAUUUAUCCUUCCAUCUAUACAAUAACUGUUAUGGGAAGAAAGAGAGCUUCUUAUUUUGAAUAUUGACCUGUAAAUGUUAAAAGGAUAUCAUCUAACCAAUUCACAUAUAGAAAUUCACAUUGUAUUUUGUGGCUCCUACAAUAUAGUCACUAAAGCAAUUCUGUACUUAGAGUCAAAAGUACAACUUUUUAACCUAUUGGCAAGUGAUACUGCAUAUUCAAUGUUAAAAACUUAAGACUCGUCCUUCCAUGAGCCCCAAUCAAAAUGACAAACGAGGGCUGCCGUUACUGUGAGUACAUCAUGUAUAUCAGCAGCAAUCCUCUCUUCAUCCUUUUUGGCUUUCUCUAUGUAACAAAGCCUCAUUUUAUGUUUUAUAAGGUAAUGUGAUGUGAUCUCAUUGAACCACUCUUGGCUGAUGACAAGAACUAAACUCACCUGAUUCGACGAGGACUGAAGUAUCUUAUUAUCAUCUUGGAAAUUCCCACAGAAAGGCGCCACCUUGCCUUGAGAAACCACCCAAAGCUUGUCCAUGCUUCCAGAUAUUGGAUGCUCAUCGUGACUAACCUGCAAAUCAAGGUGAAAAGAUGGCUAUUAGCUGUAAAGACAAUCCAUCAUUGGUCAAAUUGAAGUAUUCUAGCAAAAAAAUCAAUCUCACCAUCAGACAUCUUCCUUGGAACAAGACCAGCCCUCAAAUGAGCGCCUCAACCGCAUCCAAAUCCUGCAGUUUGGGAUAGUAAAAAACACAGAAUCAUACUCAUCAAUCCUUAGACAAGAAACUAGCAAUUUAGAAAGAUAGAACUUUAGUAGUCAUAGGUCAUUAAAGUAGAACUUAAAGUCGCUUUGGUGCAAGUGGAUCCACUCCACGUUCCUUAAAAGGAAGAACUUCUGGGUGGUUAAGCAGCCGACCUGUUGCUCUUGGGCCUGGAAGAAAAUUUUACAACUCAGAGUAGAAGUCCGGCUCAGUUUCUGGUGCAGAAUUGGGGAUGGCCUUUCUACGUCACUUUGGUUUGAUAACUGGCAUCCUAGGGGGCCGCUGAAUUGGGUUUUCUUGGAUGUGUUAAUCUAUAACUCUGGCCUUUCUAGAGAGACUUCAGUUGUAGACCUCUAUGUGGAGGAUGGGCAGGCUUUAAGGUCGGUGUUGGAGUCGUGGGAGAUUCCCCUCCCCUCCCUCUCUCUUAACCAAGGUUGCUUUUGCUGGAAGGAUAAUCCGGCAGGGUUCAUGGUGGCCAUGGCCUGGGAGGCCUUUAGGAGGAAGAAGCCCCGAAUUUUAUGGCAUCGUUUCAUUUGGAACAAUGCCAUUACACCCAGGUACCAAUUUCACCUUUGGCUUGUCGCCAAGCAUAGGUUUCCCACCCAAGCUUUCCUCCUCUCUUAUGGAAGGAUUGAUACUACUUUUUGCCCCUUCUGUGAGGAGGUGCCUGACUCUAUUGACCAUCUAUUUUUUGAGUGUCGGGUCACGGCUAAUUUGGCUUUCUUUUGGGCAACCAGAUGUAACCUUCCGUGGCGAAACCGGUCUUGGAAUGAAAAUCUCCUCUAGGCCACAACCUUUCUUGUGGGCAACGACUUCUUCAAAAGCAUGGCGCGGUUUUCUUUUGGCACUCUCUGUCAUAUCAUUUGGAGGAAUAGGAACAAUAUUCUCUUUAGAGAGGAGCCGCUGUCCAUUCCGGCCAUGAAGAAUCAUCUCCUCAAAGUGGUCAAAGAUAAGGCACUCUCUUUCAAGGAUGUGGAAGAUUCCUUCAGGAAUAGGAGACUACAACGCAGUUGGGACCUGAAUCCGAGUAUCUUUGCUCCGCGCGUUCUCCUCUCGGGUGACUAGCCGUCUCUAGAUCGACUGAUGUUGGUCUUUGUGUCGUCGUGCUUGUCUGGCGGUUGUUCAUGCCGUCUGGGUCUCUUUCUUUUCUUUUCUUGCUCUUGCCGCUUGGCCUCUUUCUCGGCUUCCUUCCACUCAUAAUGAAGCCGUUCAUCUCGAGUGCAAGUUUAUGAAGACGGUUCGUUUUGUACUGUUUGGUCUUCCCCAUUUAUAUAUUGCUUAUUUUACCAAAAAAAAAAAAACAAAGAAAUUUCCACGUUAAUUAUGUGCAAAACCCAAUGCUGCCUAUAGGAUAUUGGAACUACUUGGUAUUGCAGAUUACUGCAAUACAAAAAACACCGAUCAUGCUAGCAUACAUGUUCAAUUCCCAAUAUUUUGCCAGUUGGAACAAUUAGAUUGGUUAUGUUCCAUUAUAAGUUAGAUGUAAGAUGGCAGAGGCUCCCUGUUGUGAUCACUAAUUGGUUCCAUUGUAUUUUCAAUGCAAAGACCAGAUUCCUAUAAGUUCAAAUAGUGCAAGAACAAUAUAACAAGCUAACUGAAAAAGUCAUCGAAGUCACAAAAUGGAGAAAAAUGAGUAAAACUUAGCAGAUGAUCGGAUGGCUUGCAAGCCAAAACUAUGUGAGGUUUCUCAAAAGUUAUCUUGGCAAAUGCAACUUUCUGACCACCUAUUUAUAUGGGCAAAGAACCAUGUUAUAUGUGCAAUAACAUUCAAAAAGCCUCAGAGAAAGUAGAAUGAACCGCAAUUUAGAUUACAAAUUAACUCACCUCUAAAAGAGCUUCACGAUCUCACACAAAAAUUGCUUCAAUAAAAAAUUUACAUAUGCAACAGUAACAGAGAGGGAGGAGAUGUAUCAUACAAGGUUUGCAUUCGUCGAACUGCAAGAUUUCCAGUUACACCAAACAAACACAAGUAAGCUCGAAACUUUUGUUCUGGAACUCCCCGCACGAAAAAUGCCACAUAAGAAGGUAUUUUCAAUAAAAUAACAUAAUGUAAGACAAAAUAAUAUUCCACAUUAGAGUAAACGCACAUGACUGAUACUUUAAAGAACUGAAUAGUUUUGCCCCAAAGGUCACUGCUGACAACACAAUCACAGAAGCAGGUAGCAUAUCAUUUCAAUCUCAACCAAACAAGCAUAAGUAGUUUGGCUAAAAAUUUCUUGCAAGCUUUUAGUAAUAGUUCCUAACCCACCAGAGAUCAAGACCCAAGCGGAAGGUGAUUUAUGGAAUAUCAAUGCUGUCACGAAUUGGCGUGGCAUUGAAAGGUUGGAGCCAUGAGGCGCCCCAGAAUUUUAUCCCAGAUUGACUGGUUAAUACUACAAAGGAUCAUCAUCAACAAAAAGAAGGUUCUCAAUGAUAAAGGAAACCAUUGAAAAAAGAAAAGAAAAGGAAGUGCAUCCCUUUUCUUCACAAUCAUAUCACAGCAUCCACAUAACUAAUCAUGUUUUUAGAUUUUAGAAAAGAUUAUUCUUAUUUAGAUCGUAUUCACUAGAAGAAAAUUUAGAACAUCUCAAUGCACCAUAUAAAAUUAAACGCUUCUUUUUUCUAUUAUUAAAUUGCAAAAGGUGACACUUAACAUUGACAGCAUUAGCCCCACCUCAACAGCAUUCGCAAGUGAUCCUUCCAAGAGAUUUUGCCAAUACAAAUCACAGUGGUAUCUGCAAAGCAACCACAGUGAACAAGCUUAAGGGCAGAAGAAAAAGAAGUUGGGAAGAGAAAAUACAACAAACGCUGAAAAGCAUAGUGCAUUUUGAUUCACAAUUUGUUUGGCGGGUCACGCAAGUGCAAAAAUAAGCACAGUUUUUGGGCAUCAAGAAGAGUUCAAGAUAUGUCAUCAAUAUAGCAAGAUGCAGCUUUGUGAACAGUUCGUUCUACAUAUGUCAAUCUUUCACCUUCAGUGGCUGGUUUUCGAAAAUCUAUGUGAAAAGUCUAAAUGAGGAAAAUCAGUUCGUAUCAAGCAUCGAAUUUAGGAAUUGGCUUCACCUCCUUCGGUGGGUGCUCAUAACUCCUCAAACCUCUAGAGCUGGUGAAGCAGCAUCCUGAGUUGGAAGAGAAGGCAAUGUUAAAAAGGUGAACAAUUUGGCGCUCAAAAACCAUUGGAAGAGCAACAUUGUAAGUGAAAAUGCACAAAUCAAACAUGCAUACAGGUAAAGAGCACCAUUUUAACCAUAAAUUAUAAAUUUAGGUUUGGAACCAAUUUUUCCAAUAUGAUGUUACCCAACAAAAUAACAUUCUCCUCUCAAUUCUGCUUAAUAUCAGCAGAGCUCAUCCAUCCUUACUUUUCAUAUUGCAAUGCAUGGACUGAACCCCAGUGGAGCCGCAUCAACAAACCGAAAAAAUAAUUACCUUUAGGGAAUGGUGCGAAAGAUUUCCCAAAGCCCAUCUUCACGACUUCUGCAUUAUCCAAGAGAACAAGACUGCCUCCAGAAUCAAGUCCCCAGAAGAAAGGAACACUUCCAUCAACAUCCUGCAUGAUUCAGAGAACAGAAAGGAUUAGAUAUAGAUCACAGGUGACGGGAGAGAUUGAGAGUUAUAUCCCAGAACCAAACCAAUGGACAUUAUUAUUACUCAGAGGCCAGAAAAGCGGUUUUAGAACAGCUGUCGAAGAGCACAAAACCAAGCUUCCUGCUGAUGUCUCUCACAACUUGAUCAGCAGGGUAAGGCCUUCGAUCCCCAGAGUCCUAUAAGCUUCUAUGAUGAUGACGACCACAUUAGCAGUUUUGUUCCAUCCAUAUUGCUGCUUAAGAAGAGCAACAUUGUCUAUGUGUCCUGUGUCCUUGGAACAAGCAGAAGAUAUUAUCGACAACCGCAAACAAUUUGCCACAGAGGGUAAGGCAUGUCAAAUCUUGAUGUGGGAUGAGCUGAUAAAGAAGAGAAGACAGUACCACAAUUUCCAUCAAUUAACAAUCCAAUAAAUUUCAUUUUCUGGCUUUCAAAUGAACUAGAGACUUGAGUUCCACUAUCUCUUUGAGGCUGAUAUAUGGAACCUUUCAAAAUAUCACAAUAAAGUCCACCAAAAAUCAGUUUGAUCUAACCGUUGCCUCUCCAAACAAUGAAAUCAUGAUUUUUUUUUUUGGUUAAAGCUACCAUUAUCAAGAGAUGGAGUGGGUAUUUGAAUAGAAGAAAGAUAAACUUUAUUCUUUGACCAGGUAAUCAGUUUUUAAGUGGGUUUCGGCCUGCAUGGUUCGUUCAAAAUUUAGCUGUUUCAUUUGCAUAUUCAAACCCCCGUUUUCAAUUUAUCCUUCCAUCUAUACAAUAACUGUUAUUAGAAGAAAGAAAGCUUCUUAUUUUGAAUAUUGACCUGAACGUGUUAAAAGGAUAUUAUCCAACCCAUUCACAUACAGGAUUUCAUAUAGUAUUUUUGGCUAGGCAUGGUCUACAAUAUAGUUACUAAAAGCAAUUCUGUACAUAGAGUCAAAAGUACAAACUUUUUAAGAUAUUGGCAAGUGAUACUGCAUAUUCAAUGUUAAAAACUUAAGACUCAUCCUUCCAUGAGCCCUAAUCAAAUGACAAACAAGGGCUGCUGUUACCGUGAGUACAUCCUAUAUAUCAGCAGCAAUCCUCUCUUCAUCCUUUUUCGCUCUCUCCGUAACAAAGCCUCAUUUUAUGUUUUGUAAGGUAAUGUGAUGUGAUCCCAUUGAACCACUCUUGGCUGAUGACAAACUAAACUUGCCUGAUUCAACGAGGACUGAAGUAUCUUCUUAUGAUCCUGGAAAUUCCCAUGGAAAGGCGCCAGCUUGCCUUGAGAAACCACCCAGAGCUCGUCCAUGCUUCCAGAUAUUGGAUGCUCAUUGUGACUACCCUGCAAAUCAAGGUGAAAAGAUGGCUAUUAGCUGUAAAGACGAUCCAUCAUUGGUCAAAUUAAAGUAUUUUGACAAGAAAAUCAAUCUUGCCAUCAGACAUCUUCCUUGGAACAAGACCAGACCUUGAAUGAGCGCCUCAACCGCAUCCAUAUCCUGCAGUUUGGGAUAGUAAAAAUCACAGAAUCAUACUCAACAAUCCUUAGAAAAGAAACUAGCAAUUUACAAAGAUAAAACUUUAGUAGUCAUAGGUCAUUAAAGCAGAACUUAAAGUCCACAUUUAUAAACAAAGAAAUUUCACAUUAAUUAUGUGCAAAACCCAAUGCUCCCUAUAGGAUAUUGGAAAUACUUGGUGUAUAGAUUACUGCAAGACAAAAACACUGAUCAUGCUAGCAUACAUGUUCGAUUCCCAAUAUUUUGCCAGUUGGAACAAUUAGAUUGGUUCUGUUCCAUUAUAAGUUAGAUGUAAGAUGGCAGAGGCUCCCUGUUGUGAUCACUAAUUGGUUCCAUUGUAUUUUCAAUGUAAAGACCAGAUUCCUAUAAGUUCAAUUACUGCAAGAACAAUAUAACAAGCUAACUGAAAAAGUCAUCGAAGUCACAAAAUGGAGAAAAAUGAGCAAAGCUUACCAGAUGCAACAGUAGCAUAGAGGGAGGAGAUGUAUCAGACAAGGUUUGCAUUCGUCAAAGUGCAAGAUUUCCAGUUACACCAAACAAGCACCAGUGAGCUUGAAACUUUUGUUUCGGAACUCCCUAUAGGAAGAAUGCCACAUAAGAAGGAAUAUUCAAAUAAAAUAACAUUGUGAAUAUUGACAGUGCACCUAAUUCUUUCCUCUUGCAAUCAAAAGGCAAUCACAUUGAAGUACUCUCUUCUCUCACAAACUUUGCACAAUCGCAAAUUGCCCUCGCCAACAGCUUUGGUGAAAAUAUCCAUAAGAUAUCACCAUGGCAAAGCAAGACUACCAAACACAACAAUCAUCAGUAUGGCCAAUUGAAGUCACAGAACAAGAAGAAUCUAAGCUGAGAGUGGAUACAAGAGAAACCGAUUCCACACGAGGUCCACAACAUAAGACUUCACAUCGGUAGCGAUUGAUUUAGUCAUCAAGAGAAAUGACAACAAUGACUACCGCUUCAUUCAUUCAUUCUGCCUCACACAGCACACAUUUCUUUUGCAGGCGUUGUCGUCGACAAGAGACGAAGAACAUAUCAAUUGUCAACCAAACAAAAUGUGCAGGACAACCUUGGUGAGAUCAAAAUGGAGAAGUCACAAAUACGACCUCUUUUAAUUUAAAAACAUUUACUCGAUUGCUUAAGGCGGUGCUCAAGAUUGGCAAAAGGAUUUUACCUGAGAACCCCUGCAGAANNNNNNNNNNNNNNNNNNNNNNNNNNNNNNNNNNNNNNNNNNNNNNNNNNNNNNNNNNNNNNNNNNNNNNNNNNNNNNNNNNNNNNNNNNNNNNNNNNNNAUACCCUUGGGAAAUCAAAUCGCUGGAUGAGACGAAGUACGAAUUUUUCCUAAUUUUUUCUCGCACUCUUCGGAAUGAAGCUAUGCACCCAAACCAUUCAGCGAUUUUUUUCAUGUCCCUCCCCAAAUCAAAUCAAGUAUGGAAACACGAUAUCCGAAAAUUAUAAAUGCAAAAAUCUGGGAAACAAGGUCCCACAUACCUUCAGUGAAGAAAAUUAGGGCUAGAUCUACCAUUCAAAUGAUAUGUGCGGGAUAUGAGCGAUCUUGUCCCAGUCCUCGCCUGCUUGUCUUUUGCAACUCUCCCACAAUUCUCCGCAAUUGUAGAUGAGUAGGUGAGUAAGGGAUGUGAGCCUUCGCAUUGCUUCAGGGAAUGAUGUCAACGAGGAGCACUUGAUGAUGUCGAGAUUUUGAAGUGAUUGAAGGUCCUCGAUCUGCUCUGGUAUAUCCUUCAAAUUGUAGCAAUUCCAAAUAAGGAGACGCUCGAGAUUGCGGGCCUGUAGAAGCCAGUGUGGGAGAGAUGUCGGUUUGGGAAGGAGCUUUAUUCUCACGGAGCGGAGACUCGGAAGGCCUCCAUGGAAAUCCAAGAUGUUGCCGCUUUCGUCUUUGGAUAUAUCCAGCGCCUCACAAUCCUUGAAACGGAGAUCCACGAGGCUCGAUAGAUGUCGCAUACCUUGCGAGAGGGAAGUCAACUGAUGACAACCACCGAUGCUAAGAGAUUCAAGGGAAGUGAGACUUUGGAAGCCCUCCUCAGGCAAACAUUCUAAAAACUUUAUAUCGUAGAUAUUCAAUCUCUUCAACUUAUUAAGGCCAAGCAUCAUCUGAUUUAUCAACGCCGCUCCGUUGGCACGUGUCAGAUCUAACUCCUCGAGAUGAGGAGUUAGUGGCAUGGCUUUUAAUUUUUCACAGUACUCGAUCUUCAAUCGCAAUAGACUAGGAAAUGAUGCUGGUGAAGGGGAUGAUUGGUCCGACUCAAUAUAUUCCAAUUUAGGCAANNNNNNNNNNNNNNNNNNNNNNNNNNNNNNNNNNNNNNNNNNNNNNNNNNNNNNNNNNNNNNNNNNNNNNNNNNNNNNNNNNNNNNNNNNNNNNNNNNNNNNNNNNNNNNNNNNNNNNNNNNNNNNNNNNNNNNNNNNNNNNNNNNNNNNNNNNNNNNNNNNNNNNNNNNNNNNNNNNNNNNNNNNNNNNNNNNNNNNNNNNNNNNNNNNNNNNNNNNNNNNNNNNNNNNNNNNNNNNNNNNNNNNNNNNNNNNNNNNNNNNNNNNNNNNNNNNNNNNNNNNNNNNNNNNNNNNNNNNNNNNNNNNNNNNNNNNNNNNNNNNNNNNNNNNNNNNNNNNNNNNNNNNNNNNNNNNNNNNNNNNNNNNNNNNNNNNNNNNNNNNNNNNNNNNNNNNNNNNNNNNNNNNNNNNNNNNNNNNNNNNNNNNNNNNNNNNNNNNNNNNNNNNNNNNNNNNNNNNNNNNNNNNNNNNNNNNNNNNNNNNNNNNNNNNNNNNNNNNNNNNNNNNNNNNNNNNNNNNNNNNNNNNNNNNNNNNNNNNNNNNNNNNNNNNNNNNNNNNNNNNNNNNAACAGUGGUAGAGAUUAAGUAUUUGCAAGCUUUGCAAUCUCGUAAUGGAGUUAGGAAGCCUUCUGAGUGUUUGCUGUAAGAGAGAUCGAGAUAUGUGAGAUACUUCAACUCACAAAUGGACCUUGGCACCUUCUCGACCUCUAUGGCAUGUAGAUCCAAGAUGCGCAACCUCUUGAAAUUUUGAAUUAAUUGUUGUAGGUCUACUUCACUUGUUAGAUUGCUUCCCCAAUCUCCAAUAGUACACAAAAACGUUCUCAAUACACUUGGUUUCAAGCGUGAGAUUGGAAGUUCACCCAUUAAAUUGAAAGUCGAACCAUAGGAUAUAUGACGAGUUCUUUCAUUUAUUUGAUUUGUGUCAUCCCUUGCCGCCCAACACUUGUUCCCUGCAACCGAGUAGGCUAGAUCAUGCAUCAAAUCAUGCAUCUUGCAAGUUUCCUCAUUUGUGUAUGGAUCUUUUUUAAAAUCUUGGAAGAAGUUACUCCAACAUAGAUCCAUGAAAUAUUCAUGAGCAAUGUCUUCUAAAAGCUCACCUGAAUUUGAUGGCUGGAUAAAUCCUUCUGCCAUCCAAAGAUAGAGUAAAGUAUGCUUCUUUAUCUCAAAAUCUUUGGGAAACAAUGAACAAAAGGCAAAACAUUGUCUCAAAUGUGAAGGAAGUUCGUCAUAACUUAGCCUAAGAAUAGAUAUUAUAUGGUCUUCCCUUUGAGACACUUUUGGGAGCUCAACAUCUUUGAAAUGUAACCAUCCAUCUUUAGUUUCCUUAAAGAAUAAUAACCUCCCAAUAGUUCGAACAAUCAAUGGAACUCUAGAACACUUUCUAACUAUCUCUUUACCAAUAGCUAGCAUGCUAGGAUCUUGUCUGGCCCCUUCUUUUCGACCAGCCAUUCGCAUCAACAAAUCAAGAGAAUCACUUUCAGAUAAGCCCUUAAGAAGAAGAGGCGAAGCAGGGGAGGUGAUCUUUGCAACCAAAGGAAGGCGUGUAGUUAUAAGGAUCUUGCUUCCUCUAGCACCUCCCAUCAAUAAUGAUUUCAAGUUGUGCCAUGUUUCUGAUUUUGCAUCCCAAAAAUCAUCCAAAACUAAGAGAUAUCUCCUUCCAUCAAUUAUUUUCCUCAGUUCAAUUUGCAACCUAUCCAUCACAUUGUAGUUUGGUGGUUCUUUCUUCUCCACACAAACUAUGAUAUCUUUCACUAUUUUUAUCAUGUCAAAGUCAUUAGAAACACAAACCCACAUUUUCAAGUCAAAAUGUUUACUGAUCAUCUCAUCAUUAUACACAAAUUUAGCAAGAGCUGUUUUUCCAAGCCCCCCAAUACCAACUAUUGGAAGGAUAGAAACGUUCUCUUUCACAUCCAUGUCCAGUAAGAAUUUCAUGACAUUCUUUUUAUCAUUACCUCUUCCAAUAAUGUCUUCCUCACCUCCUCUCUCUUCCUCCGCCCUCUCUCUCUUCCUCCCGCCCUCUCGGUCCCUUGCCCAAGUGGAAAGUUCUUUUCAGCCUCAAUAUCUUUCAAUCUCUCCCUCACUUCUCUUAUUUUUCUACUCAUCUUCAGUUCAAAGCAAGCUGGUUUANNNNNNNNNNNNNNNNNNNNNNNNNNNNNNNNNNNNNNNNNNNNNNNNNNNNNNNNNNNNNNNNNNNNNNNNNNNNNNNNNNNNNNNNNNNNNNNNNNNNNNNNNNNNNNNNNNNNNNNNNNNNNNNNNNNNNNNNNNNNNNNNNNNNNNNNNNNNNNNNNNNNNNNNNNNNNNNNNNNNNNNNNNNNNNNNNNNUGGUGACGGUGCUCUCGAGCGCCUGAAGUUCACGCUUGAUGCCCCCUAAAUUUCCAACCUUUCCCAGUGCUUGAGUAAUCAGAUUGGCAAGGACGCUUCCACCAAUGCUGAUGACAGCUUCUGUCAUAUUUGUUCUCUCUAUCUCUCUUUCUCUAUGGGGUUGAGAAGAUUUUAGUCCUGUCGUUCCGAGGCUAGCGUCUUCUUAGAUGAUGUAUAAAAAGUCUGUCCUUGAGAUUAAAUGAGUGUACAAUAAUAGUAGAUAAUAGAAAAUAUUUAACUGACAAGCAGUAAUUCCAAAGCAUCCUAUGUCAUGUAAGAUUCCAUCCCAUCUAAUAAGUAAGGCGAGUUCCUAUUCAUACAUUCUUCUAGAAACAUUAUGUUAGAUUAUCUUAGAUUGAUUAAGUUUUUUUUUCUACCAUACCAUUAAGUAAUAUGUCUAAUUAACAUUAAGGAAAUUGGGAGGUAAUUGAGUGAUGAUGUGGUUCGACCGUUAAGCUCCAUUUUGCUGGACUUUCUUCUUAGUUUGGUUUUAAUAUAUGAUGCGUAAUAAAUUAAAACAAAACAAGGUAAUCACAAUGAUCAUAGGCUUUUUAAAAAAUAAAAUUAAUUUUGUGCUUUCUUAUGUAAAAUUCAAAAUGUUAUUUAAAUAUAAAAAGUCAUUAUUCAAAUUACAUAUUAAUGUUUACGUGUUGUGAAAAUUUCAUAUGUUUAAAGACAAAAUAAUGUAAAAUGUAGACUGAGACAACAUUAGAAGAAACAAAAAUAAAAUGUAAAAAUCUAUCAAGACAAGCCAUGAGCUAAGUUGGUGAUGCUCUUGAAAUCCGCUAGAGGUGUUGGACCAUGUCGUUGUCCUUUGUACUUGUUAUCUUUUCUUUUUUCCUUACUUUUUCUCUUUUUGGGCGAACAGAAAGUGUAAGGUAACAUGAUGUUGAAGCAAAGCCACAAUUUUUCACUUCAUUGGCCGACAAAAUGAGAAUCAGAAUCCACUUACAAGGGCUACACUACAUCCACCACAAUCUGCUCAAGCCCGGAAACCAUCUCAUUGCAGCUUAGAAAGUUAUCAUAGCUGUCUCGACAAGGGCAGCAGCAUAGGGAAUGCCCCGAUGGAUGCCCACUCUCUAGUGUUCAGUGGACAAGAUUAGCUUAUGCUCGGUGAUAAAAUGUUGUACUUUGCAAGACCGUACGUGUCAGAGAACAAGACAAAUGAAGAUAUUGAGUCUUAAGGUCUAGCGUCCCUGUCAAUUUGUGCACAAUCUCUUUUGAACUCUUUACCAAGCCCCUUUUCUUAUUAGUGUUGAACUCAAGUUCUUCUAAAUCACAUCCAACAAGUAAGAUAAAUGUGUUCCAAUAUAUGACCUAUUCCACACGAAGAAAAAGUACAUAAAAUGGCGAUCAUUUUGAAUCAGGUCCAAAUUUAUGAGUAAUAGCACGAGUCUUAACAUGAUCCUAAAUAUUUCACGAAACAUUUGGCAAGAUGCUUGAGAUCUUUAAUAAGGAUAGCAGGUGUUGCACGUUCUUAUUCACUUAUAAUCACAAUUAGUUGUUGUAUUUGGUCACUUCCCCUUCCAUGUUAGUUGCAUGUUCAUAAUUUCUAUGGAUGCCGAUUCAAUUAUAUUUAAUUCCAUUUCUUUCUAACCGCCCCUUGCUCUGCCAGGAUUUUCAAAAGAAAUCAUGUGACUCUUAGUAUGUACGUAGCGAGUAAUUUUUCAUGUGACCAGUAACUUUUUACAAGAUAUUCGACUUCCAAUAUAUAAAUAAAUACUCACCUAUUUACAUUAUUAAUAAUUUUUUACAUAAAAGGUAACCUAUCUACAUUGAUUCUU